Molecule: long non-coding RNA, 47806 nt
Filed under: Ricinus communis (castor bean)
Lineage: Eukaryota; Viridiplantae; Streptophyta; Magnoliopsida; Malpighiales; Euphorbiaceae
Description: long non-coding RNA (RCOM_LNC001427)
Source: RNAcentral
ACCAUGUCAGGAAAACCUUCUGAAUAAAUUCUAUACAUAAAAUUAUAAAAUUUCUAUUACAAAAUCAUAAUAUAUGGCAUUUUUUGUGGUGUUACAUUUACAGUAAUUAAUUUUUGAUUAUAGUUGAUAAUAAUCAUAUAACAAUGGAUGUAAAUGCAAGUAUGCAACACAUUGUAAGAAUAUGUUAAAUAUCAUAAAAGUCUAUCAUAAUUAUAGUGAAGAACUCACUAUUAUAUAUUGUUUUAUAUUGAGAUUCCUGGCAGUAGGUAGCAUGUAAUGAACUUGGAAUGCAGACUUUAUGUUCUAUUGGUAAUGGAAGCACUGAAGAAAGCAAGAUAAAGAGAUGGGUUGCAUUUCAAUCAAGGGAUACAUAUAUGGUGUCAUGAAAUUAUUGUAUUUAAAUUUUAAUGGAGCAUAACAAUUACAUUAAGGAAUAUUUAGAUGUAUUUAAAUGUUCCAAUAAUGGAGCAGAACAUAAGAUCACACAACCAUGGCUGUAAUUGAAACAAUCCAAGGCUGCUGUUUAAUACUAACUCAAAAAUAUAACCAAAUCCCCAAAUUGCAACCAAAGUUGCAGGAUUAUUGUGUGUAAUCAAUCCACCAACCCAGUUCAAGUAAAAAGUCAGUAGCUGUACACAUUCCUUCUGCUGCUAUGACUGAGUCUCUAAUAGAAAACAUGCUGGUUCACAUUUUGAAGUAUGUCCAAACUUGGAUGUAUUGUAUUUCCUGUGUACUCCUGUUAGUUUCCCUGUCCCUGCCUUCUGAUGGAAACCAACCAUUAAUCUUGAACAUUCGCUGUAAAUUGAAAUAUGCAAGAAACAAUGUCCAUCAUUAGUAAUUUUCUAUUCAACAAUUUCAUCAAAGAAGAAAGAUACUACUAAUUGGAGUGGUGGGGAACUCACAGAAGUUGAUCUUCUGAAUAGUUACUGUGCCAUUCACAGGUCCUAUUCCACUGCUUAAAGCCAUAGAUGGUGCAUUGAGCAGUAUAUAUUGCUGCUGCUGCUAAUAAAGAUGGUGGGAACUUGAGCAUCUCAUACUCCACAAGGGAAAGCUCAAUGAUGAAGAAGGACAGCAUCUCAAUUUUCUUAUCUGACUGAGCAGCCUUGAGGAACCUUUGCAUGAAAACAUAUGGUGUUGGAAAUGACAUGUUAAACUGUAAUUUAUUGAGCAUCAACUUUUCCUGCAGGUUGUGAAGGAAGAAGAAAAUGUUUUACUUGCUUGUUUUUUCACUUAAGCCUCAAGGGUUUUCAGAGUUUGGUAGAAUCUGAAAAGCUUGAGAUUUUGACAGAAAAUUUACCAUUUCAAGCACUUCUUCCCUGUUGUAGGCCUUGUCUGAUAUGAGAAUCAAAUCUCCUACCACUGGAACAGAUACCUCUUCAUACUUGCAUGCUAACAGCAUAGCAACCAACCCCACCAACUGAAGCUUCUUUCUUACCACUGUUUGCUGUGAUAGAAAUCUAUCGAUGAGAUUAACCGUAAGAAAUAAUGUCUCUUUCAUAAGAUCAAACUUGUCAUGCACCUAUCAUGAACCAAAUCAUUCAAAAUCAGUAUUGAUUUAGAACUAAUAUUCAAUAGUGCUAUCAUCAUUUCAAUGGCAUGUUUUAGAAGGAGCAUUUCCAUUACCUCAAUAAGCCAGUCAAUCAGUAUGGCUCUCAUCUUCUCAUUAAUGUCAAACUGUUGUGCCAUAUAGUUUUGGGAGACACAGGUAAAGUUCUGCACAGAGUGAGCUGUAUUUAGUCAUCAAAUUUUAGUUGGAAAUAGAAGUUCUCUUAACAUCCAUUGCAUUUGCAGACAUAUUAGGAAUGUAAAUUUCAAGCAUAUCAUAAAACUUUACUUAAAUGGCAAAGCAAUUGGUGUCUUAGGAAGGUUUUUGUUUCUGCCAACUUAGAAUAUCUGAAGUAACCAUAUAAAAAAGACACUAGAUCCAAAUUAAUAAUACAAGAACAAUGGGGAACUCCAUAGAAUAUCAAAAUUUUUUCAUCUAAUCAACAGUGAUAUAAUAGAAUUUAGAAACCAAUUUGUAAUAUACCUCUAUUUUUCUAUAGUUGGCAUACAAAUCUUCAACAUAAUCAACAACUGCAAGGGGAUUCUUUGCAUCACAGCCAUCAAUAUCCACAAUAGGCUCUUCAAUUAUAUCCUCCAUUUCAACCUCCUCCUGACAGAUUUCAUGAGAGUCAAUUAUAGGCUCUAAACUUUAGAAAAGAAAAAAAGAAGAAGAAAAGUUGCAUAAUGACAGGUAGAAAGAGAAAGAAAAGCACCAUUUCAUCAAGGGUUGCUUCUGUUUGUUCUAAAAACAUUGGUUCUGGAUGGUCUUCAGCGGCCUUAUUUUCUUCCACAUCUAUGAAUAUAGAGUCUCCAAACCCAUUAGUGCUCGAAACUGAAGGCUUAUGCUUUUUAGUCUCCUGCUAACAGCAUGUUCCAACAAAUUAAACACUGCCCUUCUUUUUGAUUACCAAAGAAUAAAACCUACUUUUCUUUUAUUUCUUUCUUUUUUUAAACUUUUUUUGAGAAAGAAAGAGAAGGUACCUGGGGACAAUUCUGAUGUGUACUUGACAAUUGUGCAGCAAACUUCCUAAAAUGGCAAAUUGAAAUCUAAAUAUCAAAAUUUGAAAUAACUUGUAUCAAACUCAACCUGUUAAGUUUUAAUAGCAUUAGCUUGAUGCAAGCUUCCUUUUUUUCUUUUUCUAUAUUCACCACAGCAGGAAGAGAUCUAAAAUUUCAAAUUUGGAUCUUUGUUUUUCUCUCUUACUUUUUCUCUUUCUUCUUUACCCCAUCAGCCAAACAAACUUUGGAAAGAAAAAAAAAAGAUCAUGAUUCUAACCUUGUAAUUGGCCGAUGUGCAGGAUUAAGUUGGUUUCUUUCACAGACUCCAUCACUUCUGAAAGGGGGAAAGAAAAGGAUACACCCAAAAGAAAUUAUUUUUCAGCAAAAGAAAAGAAAAAAAAGAACAAACAUUCACUGAUUUUAUAAAGAAAAUAAUUACUCUGAUAAUCCUCUCUUGUUAACAACACAAGGAUAUGCUCCUUGUCCUCCCAUAAAAUUCUGAUUUAACACAUUUAGAGCUCUUCUGUUGUUCCUAAUCUCUUGCCCAAACUUUCUGUUACCCAUCUCUAAUCCUCCUAUAAUUCAAACAAAACACAACAAACCCAUGUCAGAUCCUGAAAAUUAACACCCAUAUUCAACCUCAAAACUUCACUUCUCUACCUUGAAAACUUGAGGGUUUUGCAAUGUUAGGAUUGUUCUCAUCAGAUACAUUCAUUUUGCUCAAUAAACUAUCUGAACGAACAAUCACACAAACACACACAAAAAGAAAAAUCCCCCCCUUUCUUGAAGAACCCAGUACCCUUAAAGAUUUAAACUUUAACAAGUAAUGGGCAUUUAAAAAAAGCCUCGAAGGCAACUGAGUCUAAAAACCCAGUUAGAUAGUGAAGUAAGUGAGAGACACUUGGGCGACAACAAUGGUUAAAUGAAUUGCUGUGUCUUUGCUUUCUUCUUUUUUUUUUUUUUUCAAACGCAACGGCUAGUGAAAUGUGACCGUUAGAUUAUGGGAUUAGCGAUGACUUUCCAUGCUUGUCUUAACAACGGUCACUCACUUCGUUGGCAUGUGGCUCGCCGCAUCUGAUUUCAAAAAUCAUUAUUGGCUUUAUAUUUACAAAUUAAUCCAUGAGGUUACUUCAAAUGAACCUUUGGUCCCUUGUUUAUUUUUUUCUGAUUAGCAAUUUUAAUUUUCUAAUUCCCACAGUAUCUUCAAAUUAGCUUUUACUUUCUUAAUUUUUAAACUUUUUUUCAGAAUGUACUUUUCUAAUACUAGUUUUUGGGAAUUGCUAGAAAAUCUAGCUUCUUUCAAAAAUUAUUUUCAAAAUCACUAAAAAAAUACAAUUAUAAUUUGUGAAAUAUAAAGAACCAUAACCUUUACUCUGAAAAAUUGUGCUAAAAUGGGUUUAAAUAUGAUAUUUUAAGGAGAAUUCUUUUAUGACUGUGAAGAUCCUCAAGAAUGGAUAGAUUAUUCUUCUUAGCAUUAACACUUUUUUUCUUCUUAGAUUUAGCUCGAGCUUGUUAAAAAAUUGAAAAUUUUAAUUUCGCCAAUUAAAUGUAAGAACAUAUCUAUUUGUUUGGUGGGGAGUAAACCAAAUUUAAGCAUAGGCAUAUAAUUGCUAGAUCUAACCAAGUAAGUGUAACUUAGUUUUAAAUUGAGUCUAAUUUUAGUUAAUUUAUAGUCUUAUAAUAUAACAGCUUAGGAUUAGAAUGUAACUAAAUUUACAAUUUUGUAGAAUAAGAUAUAGUUUAAUGUAGAACGUUGAGGACUAAAUGUAAAUCUUAUGACUCUAUCUUAGUGAUUUUCUUAAUAUAAAAUGUGAAGGAUCUUUCUGUAAUUAACCUAUUACUACAAUCUCGGGCUUUUGAUUGGCUGCUUUUGCUUUUAGUUUACUCAACAUUCUGAUAGCGCUCCAAUGCGCUCUUCCCCACUUGGGCUUUUUCUAUUGCUUCUGAAGGGGGUUAAUGGACCAAUAGAAUCUUGCCAUUUCAUCCUUUUAUGAAAUUUUUGUGUCUUCUUUUUGUUUGUUUUGAUUGUCAUUAUUUCAUUUAUUUUAGAGCCAUUCUAGUUUACUUUUAUUCUCAUUAUUAUAGUUACUAUUACCAUGAUUAUGUAUGCCAUCUCAAUAACUAAUGUCCUUUGGUUGAAUUAUAUAUAUAUAUAUAUAUAUAUGAAUCAGGUCAUUUUCAUCUUGAUUUACUUCCAUUUUUAACAAAUGAAUUUUGAUUCUUACAAAUUUGACUAUUUAUUUUUAUAUUAAUCUCUAAAAUAUACUAUCUAUAAUUUGUUGUAAUAUGGUCCGUCCAUAUUAAUUAGAGCUGCACUUAGCAAAAAAGAAAGGAUUAAAUACUGUUCCAAGUUCUAAAUAGAACAAAAUUUUCAAAAUUGAAUCAAUAUUCUAAUAUACAAAAUAUUUUGAGAAAUAGAAAAAAAAAUCAAAAGUUGAAGUUAUAUUUUAAAAUUCCUUAAAUUAUUUUUAAAUUAAAGAUAUUAUAUUUUUAAGUAAAUUAAUUAUAUGAUAUUUCUAUAGUGAUUUUGUUUAGCUUAAUUUGAUGAAAAAAAAUAAUUGAGAGGUACCCUAAGAAGUUAAAAGAAAAAAAGGAAAAGAAAAAUGUUAGGAGCCUUCAUUUUGAAGUUGACCAAAAGAAAGAUAAAAAGAAAAGCAAAAGUGGAUUCAAGUAUAAACUGAGAUACCCUAAGAAGACAGCUUUUGAAAUUGAGAACAAAGGUAAGGGUUUGAAGUAUCAAAUGUCCAAAGGCAAGCAAACCAUGGAGGCUAAAAGAAGCUUUUGAAAUUGAAGGACAAAUAUGCUAUUGGAAAAUGUAAAAUUGAUUCAUCAUCCUUUUUGCAAAGGACCAUUUUGGGGUCUCUUCUUACUUCUGCAUCAUAUCACAAAAAGGCUAAAUUUCAUAAUUUUGAAACACACAUCAAUACAAGAUUUAGUAAUUCAUAACAAACAAUCAUGAUUGAUAUUCAUGUGUACAGUCAGGCAAUUUUAAUUGUGCUUUUAACCUAAUGGUAAGGUAAGAUUUCAACUCUGUUUGGAACUUUGCACUUUAAGAGAAUUUUUUUUUUUUUAAUGACAUUCUGUUUUAAGAUGGAUUUUAAAAAAUAGUUCAUAAAAUUUAUUUAUUUUAAAUUCUAAAGUGCAUUAAAGUAAUUAUGGGCUUCAAAUUUCACCAAAUUAAGAAAAAGGGUAAUCUUAAUGGUAGUUUGUUUUUUUUUGUUAUUUGAGGAAUCAUUUAGCUAACUCUUAUAAAGUUUUUUUUUGAUUCUUAGCAAUGGAUUAGACAGCCAAUUUUCUUUUAGAAAAAAAAAAUUUCAAGACAAAAAAAGUUGAGCAGAAGUGGGGUAAAUUACUUUAUUGGUACCAAAUCUUUGGACUUAAUAUCCAAUUGGUAUCAAUAUUUCAGUUAUUUUCUUUUUGGUACUUGUACUUUUAUUUUCCAUUUCAAUUUAGGGUGCCUAACACUUUUCAGCCUAUUUUUACUAAUAUGGCCAUUGAAAAUGAUAAAUUCUUAAUUGAUUCGUCGUAUUAACAAUAUGAACGCAUUAUUAACUGAUCCUACUAAGCAUAUAGGACCUACCCAAAUGCGUAGUUUGAAAAAAAAAUUUAAAAGAUGGGUCAGACAUGCUGAGUAUGAUAAGUUAUUAAUGUAUUGACAUUAUUAAUAUGGUGAAUCAAUUAAGAAGUUUCAUAUUCAAUGGCCAUAUCGGCAAAAAUAAACUGAAAAGUGUUAGGUACUCCAAACUGAAAUAGAAAAUAGAAGUACUUCUAUCAAAAAGAAAGAAAUUAAAGUAUUGGUGCCAAUUGGAUAUUAAGUCCAAAAAUUUAGUAUUGAUAUAGCAUUUACCCCAUAGAAGUGUAAUGAAAUUACUAUUCAGCUUUGAAACAUGAUGAAUUCCAAUGGAUGAAACAACCUUUUUUUGUUCCCUUUUAUUUCAAAAGCAAAAACAGUGAGCAGAAGUGUACUAAAAUACUAUUUAAAACAUGAAGAAAAGACAAGUUUCUCGAGAGACAAACCCAAAAGGCCAAAUGCAUAUGUACAGUUGGCACCCUAAACUAAAUAUUUAACCAUUUUAGCACUCAUACUAAUAAUAUUUUUUCAUCAGGCAUCCGUUACACUUAUUGCAAAUAUCUUAUGAAUUCCUUAUAAUUUUUAUAAUCCUUACAAAAUUUUUUAGUAUUCCAUAAUAUUUAUUAAAUAUCUUUUUGACUAUAUUUUUUAAUAUAUUAUAACUUUUAUAAAAUAUAUUUUUGAUCUCUAUAUAAUAUUUUAAACGUAUGCUCCUACCAUUUCAUUAUAACUAUUUCAAAUUAAAAAAAUUUUAAUUAUCUGUCAUUUUUAUAUAUUUAACUACAAACCUUUUUUUUAUUUUUAUUUGAUGCGAUUCUAUUUUAUCAUCAAUCCAGUCUCGUUCACAAAACAUAAUCUAAUAAGAAAAUGACUAAAUACAUAUUUAUAUUUCUAAACUUAUAUUAAUUAGUCAAUUUAACCCUUAAAACUUUUGAUUUGAUCUACUAAACACUUGAAUUUUAUUCUUUUUAAUAUUUAAACACUUUAACUUUUAAUUCAAUCUAGCAUAAAUCUAAAUUAAAUAUUUAAACACCUUCAUGCAAUACAUGUGGAUGUAUCGAAUGAAAACAUAUUAAAAAGUGUUAAGAAAUCACAAAAAAAUAAAUUCAGAUGUUUGUUAGGUUAUAUCAAAAGCUGGAGUGUUAAACCGACUAACGAUCAAAAUUCAACUGCAUAAAUAUGCAUUUGGCCUAAGUAAAAAAAAUCAAGAGAAGCAAACUUCAAUGUAUAUCAGAUAAUUUCUCAAAAACAUUUAGAACAAAGAACUGUACAUCUGAUGCACAUCAUUCCCUAAUAUAGUAAACAAAAUCCAAGCUGCCACACUCUGGCUCAUAUCUAUAAUACUAAUUCAAAAUUGAAUGUCUUACCUAAGACUACUCACUACUCUAACAACAAAUAUGGCCUAAUAAAAGAAAUGCUACAUAACACAACUUUUUAUAACAAUGGCCUUUGGAGCUGAUAAUAAUAGUUUUAUCUAAAUCACAAAAAGAAAGUUCCUUUUUUCUUUUCUUUUUCUUUUUUGUAAUAUAGAUGAUGUUACAUUGGCAAUAGGCCAUAUCAGCCUUUCGGCUUUAGUGAACAAUUGCAGCAGAAAGAAAGAUUAUGUCAUGUAGGCAAAAUUUAGGCAAGGAUAUAUCUAUGCACAUGUGAGACAGUACUCACAUGCCACACACACACAGAUUUACCGGUCACUUUAUAGCUUUACUGCAAUUCUGUUACCCCAGGUUGGCAUGUGCGUUACAAAGAGAACUGAGGCAGUGCUGCUUCCCAGUUUCUAUUGUAAAGCAUGUCUUUUGCAACAAACACAACUGUCAUCUCCUGAAAAGAUUAUACAGAGAAGGCCGAUCAGUUUUCUCCUUAAUCAUCUGUUUUAAAUUUUCAGUCUUGUCCUUGACCACCUCUUGCAAUAAUAGUCGGCAAUCUUUCUUCUCUUCAUGGUUAACUUUCCCCUCAAUGCUUAAAUUACUAGUCCCAGAAUUCUCAGACAAAUGAUGUUUUUUCUUCUCUAAUUCAGGUAAUUGAGUUAUCUUAAGUAUCUUCUGGGGCUUCUUAGCCACCGCCUCAGACUUAUUUUUCAAAACAUCUUCCUUUGUAGCUACCUUCUCCUCAUAAAAGGAUUUUGUCAUUACCAAUUUUCGUUUGUUUCCCGUCUUUUUUUGGCUGUGUUCAUGAUCAAGUGGUGACAGGACAGGUAUUUCUUCCUUCCAUUCCACCAUGUAAUCCUUGACCAGAUCAGAAAGUUUCGAAUCAUGUUUCUCCUCAAUGACCUUUGGUCCAUCUUCAGCAACCUCUACUCCUUUAGUGAGUCCUCCACUCAAAGUUUCUAAAAUAACUUUACCAAGAACAAAUCUAGUCUCAUGCUGAUUACCCUUCCCAAGCAGGUAGUAGUCAAUCAUGAAACUUUCUCUCUCAGUUUUGUAAGAUUCAACAUCAUCCACCAGCACAUUAAAAAGUUGAGCAACAUCAUUUGCUAUUUUCUUCGAUACAAAUACCUGAAGCACAAAGAACAAGAAUUUAAGUCAAACAAGACAAAGCUCUAGGAAUCUAGAUGAUACAUAAUGGAAUACACUUCACACUAAAGUAAGCUUUGGCAUGAUGCAUUGAUUUUUCACUAACUUGUAAUUCUAAUGAAGAUAUUGGAGGGUUUAUCAUGCAGCAUUUUUUAACUUAAAAGAAAUUCAGAGUUGCUGGCAAGGUCCAUGAGCUGUGCAUAGGACAAGUCCAAGUUUCAGCAAAGGAGGAAAGUAACAAAGACUCGUACACCGUUCAUCUGCACAACAUUUGCUUUUUUGAAAAAAAGUUUCUUUUCUUCCCUACAAAAUAAAUAGAAUACAGAAAUGAUAUUUUAAAUUACAGGAGAGCUAAAUUAUUUUACUUGUCCAAGAGAAGGUUGUUGCAUUGACAAUCGAAUUAGAUAUGCCAUCAAAUAGAGGGCAACCACUAGUUUACAAUAUUUUCAAAUGUAUCCAUUACCAUCUAUUCACCAUGAAAAUAACCACCCAAAUAAAUGAACUUUCAAGAAAGGUUUUUCAUAUAACAUUCACCCAUCAGUGGUCCUUUCUAAAUUUUCAAAUGUUUCCAUUGCCAUUUUUCAGUAAAUUAUGCCAUGUCUAAAUUUUGUAUAGACCACUAGUUCCUAAAAAUAUCACAAUUUCAACUUUCCUAAUGUCCUAGUGGCAUAUGAAAGAAGCACAAGAGCAGAAUUAAAUCACAGCAAUGCCUUUGAAUAUCCUUAAUUCCACAAGAAAAAUAAUUCUCAGUUCGCCAGAGAUAAGGACAUUUGAACACGUUAUAAAUUUAAUAGUUUCUUUAUUCUCUGGUGGGCUUAAAUCAAAGGAUAUUUCUAGCAUAGAUGUGAUCUAGCCAUGUCGUCAAACUUCCAUCCUGCAUCACUAAGUAGACACAGAAAAUAUUCCUCAUGAAGCUGUAAUUGGCUGCAUAAAAUACAAAACUCCUUUUGAUUUGUGCAAGAAGCCUUGUGACUUAUUGUUUAUGGAAACCCUUUAUGUGAAGGUGUAUUUGCAUGUAUAUCACAAAAAAUUACCUAAUAAUAGCUGGACAUUGUAUAUUAUGUCAUUGAUGGGUUCUCAGCUCUUAAAAAAGAAAAAUAGGAUGCCAGGUCUUUUAAGUCAUAGAAAUUACUUAUCAGUGAAUCACUUUCAGAUAUAGACCUAGAACAUUAGCCAAUGCUAUAUGCUGAAGUUCAUAAAAUCAUUUGACUAAGCUAAAACCAAAUUAAUCAAACUAUUGUAUGUAAAUUUUUAACCUUCAGCACUUACCAAACCAGAACUCGAGGUAACUCCAAAUCUAGACAUGGACUGGGCAAGAGUAUCUGUAUCCAUCAAAGCAUCAACAGAAUCUUGAACCAAAGAAGCUAGAUGACUAACUUCCUCUGCAAGUUCUUCAUCUGAUUUAAAUUCAGAGAAGCCUGAGAUUUCAGGUGCAAAUUUGACUUGCAUUUUGGCAUUUUCCCUUGCAAAUUCAACACCGUCCUUCCACUUUCCAUGAUACAGCACAGAAGCAAAGACCCAUGAAACAAGAGCAUCUUGUGGAUUUGUUACCAAAGCUUGGUGAAAUGCUAGUAGUCCAACCCUGUUCCAGAGACAAAACAUGAUCAGCAGCCACCACUUGGGUUGAUAUCCUUUAUUACAAAUAUACAUUAACAUGUCCAUUCAUUAUCUAGCUUUGUUUUUGGCUAUUGAAUAUCAAUUGGCAAAAAAGAUUUUUAGAAAAAGAGGAAGCAAGAAAAAAAAAAGCUAGCAGAAAAGAGAAAGAAAAAUGUAAAUGUGGCAUGAGAAUUAAAUUAAGUAAGAAAUCAGCCGUCAAAGGAUAUGCCUAUUAUUUACCCAGACUGAUUGAUCCAAUACUUUACAAGAAGCUAACUCAAAUUAUUUUACAACUACAGUAUGCAUUUGAAAAUAAAAGGAGAAAAACUGUAAAACUGAAAUUCACCCAAGGCCUUGAAGUAUUUCUAUCAAGGAAAUUCUCUCUAAAGAUUUUCACUAAGAUUAGGAUUUGUGCCACAGCAUGAUAACUCUUCAUAUCUGGAUCAAAGAGGAAUAUAGAUUUUCAUGAAGUAAUUAGAUUUAGAAUUAUCUAUCUGUAGGACUGAAAGAGUGAUAAUUGAGGUAAACUACAUAUCCAUCAAGCUUAGAAAAUAAAACAUGGACAAUGGAUGUCCAAAGUCUUUGUCUAAGCUCGAAUAGAUACUUUGCUCAUUGAUGAAUCUGAUGUAGAAAAAUGGGCAAGGCAAUAAAGGGUAAGACAGGUAGAUGGGUGAAGUAGAAAGGGGGGCCACAUUAGGGAAGAAAGGAAGAGGUAGACUGUUAUGGCAGUGUGUUUGAAAUCGGGUUGUGGGUCUAAUUCACCGCGGGAUCGAAAGAAGGUGAAGAGUUCGUAACCUUGAAGAAAUUUAUGCUUGUUUUAUUCAUAAGAAAAUAACAUUUUUAAAAUAGUUACAACAUAGGGUAGGCUAGCCUAACCCUUAACCCUAUUUGCCAUAAUUAAGAACAUACAAUUAAGGAAAACAUAUAAUAGAAUAUCCUAAUAAUUACCUAUAAUAACUACAUAAGAAAUAAACUAGUAAGAUAUUAAAAAAAAAAAAAAAACUUAAUGAUCCUAAGAAUCACCUAUAAUAUCUAGAUAGAAAAUUAACCUAGUAAAAUGUUAAUAUUGUAACACCAACCUAAACUAACAUAGAGAAAAUAGGUGAUACAACAUGAUUUAGUGGCUCAACAUUUUUCUGAAGAUGUAGCCCAAUAUUGUAUGGAAUAGAGAUCGUUUAUCCCAGUUAACUUAAUUAAGGCUUAGUUGAAUUGAGUUAAGUUGUACUACACUCUACAUAUCCUCAUUAUGAAGUUUAUUCCAAAAUAAUUAAGUAACAAAAUCCCCAGCUAUUAAUCUCCAUGACACAUAUUCCUUUAGAGGUUGAUCUUGAAAGAGAUCUUGCAAAGUACUCUUUUAAAGAUUGAUACUGGUAAAUAUUUUUUAUUGCAAGCUAUCGGGGAUAGUCACUAUCACUUGAAAUGAAAUAAUCUGGGCAGGCAUUUAGAGAUGAAACUUGAGGAACAAAUUUACUGUUAUUUUAAUUAAGGAAAAAAAAAAAUUGUUUUCUGAUCAAAUAACUGCCAAAGUAACUACAAGAUAUUUGUAAUGAAUCAAGAAAUCCCAAACCUCUACAACUCAAUGAAUGUCAAGAAAAUUGAAUUAGUAUAGCAAUAACCAUGUUUAUGGAAGUUGUGCUACAAGUAGCAGACAUGAUGACAAUGAUGACAUACAAACCACUAAAUUUGAACUGUACAAAAAGGACUCACCAUAGACUGCUAGUGCAAGGCCGAUCACAACUAACCAGUGUAUCCAAAUUGAAAAAUAAUUUCUGCCAGGAAGAGGGAUAAUUAACGAAGAAUGUCAGGAAAAAUCAAUUAGAAAAUCAGUGACAAUUGAACUUGGACUAUACUUGGAUCAAAAUAGAAUCUAUGAAGUACAUGCAAGCAACAUAAAGAAAGAAGACUCCUUUUGUGAAAAUUGUUCCAAUGGGAAGGGACUGAAUUUAGUCAAGUAUCUACCACUACCUGUUCCGAACAUGGCAUGAUUUUCUCAAUCCAAGUAGACUAUAAAAGGAUCCCUCCUACCAGUGGUAUUUAUAAGAAAAAUGCAUGUCUGAAAGGGAAACAGCCAGCUCAGUCCUGAGAGAACCAAAGCUGAACCAUAUUAGUGGCCCUUGUUCCAUCAAGUACUCUUUGACUCCCCAUCCCUAUAUGAAAAACUUCUCUAAUGAUAUGCUUGGAUGGAAGAAUCAGAUUAGAGAUCUGGACAAAACUGUUCAGAUCAAUAUUAGUUAGGUUCCAUGAAUGAAGAGUGAGCUUGAAACUCAUUUGAGGUGGAUUGAAAUCAACACCUUAUAUGUUUAUCUAGAGGUGAGCAACAGUCAAUUUAGUUCGGUUUUGACCAAACACCAAAUAACUGAAUUUUCUGAUUUAUUAACCGAACCGAAAUAAUUUGGUUUGGUUCAGUUAAUCGGUUCGAGAUUUUUUAUUUACUUUUAUUUCUUUUGUAAUUUAAACUAUAAAUAUUUAUAUUUAAUUAAAUAAAUAUAUAUAAUAUUUAUUCAAACAUCAACAAUGAUAAAAAAUUAUAUUCACAUAUAUAAAUAAAAAAAAUAUUUUUAUAGUUAACUACAUUUGAUUUUUUCUUUAAAUGAAUAAACAAAUAUAAUAUUCUAAAUGUUUAUAUAAAUUUCGGUCAGAUCAAUUAUAACCAAAAUUUUUUGAACAAAAACCGAACCGAACCAAAAUAUUAUUCGGUUCGUCUACUUUUAAACCGAACCAAACCGAACUCUAAAAAUAACCACCCCAAACCGAACUAAACUAGUUGGUUCGGUUUUGCUCACCCCUAUGUCUACCAAAUCCACACUUAAAAUAAGACCUUUAUCCAGCUCAUGAACUUAAUCAGGAUUGAGCAUUCUAAUUGACUGAAGAAAACCUAUACAUCGCCAAAUGCAAACCUCACAAUUUUAAAUCCCUAAUGCAAACACAAUGUAAGUUCUUUAUCCUUGCUUUCACUUUAGACGACAAAAUCAGAUUUAAAAAGAUAUUAUACUCAUGAAGACUGCAACUGAUUUUUGAUUACUCGGAAAUUUUUAGAAUUAAGUUAAUGUGGUCUUUCUGCAACAGGAUUCCUUUCUCAGAUGUAUGAUAUCAUUUUAGAUAUUCUCUUGGGUAUUUCCAGUAUUUUCAUAUAAUAUUGCAUAAGCUGUAAUCUACUCCCAGAAUUUAAUUUCAUAAAAUCCAAGCUAUGUCCCUGCACGUCAUACCAAGGGCAUCUUUAUCAUUACUACAACUGUACAAUUAUACACAUUCAAGGCUCUUGCUAUACAGAUAAAGCUUACCAUCAGCAUCACAGAGCCUAGAGAAAACGUUUCACCAGCCUGUUGACUAAGAUAUGCCGCCUGCAUCAAAGAUUACCACGUACAAAUGUAAAGUAAACUAAUGGUCCUAUGAAAAACAGAAAUUAUAAAUGAGCAAUUAACAUACUGAAAAUCAACACACAUGAAAUGGAAGAAAUAGUUCGAGCAGGUUGAAUCUCUGAAGCAGAUAGAUAGUAGACUCUGCAGCUCCAUAAGAUAGCAUGUAGUUCAGUUCCAUCAUUAUCCUGGCCUGAACAAACAAAGAGUGUCAUUUUGGUGAUAAUUUAUUAUGAAGUGAAUCUAAAUUGCACUCAUUUAGAAAGCCAAAGAAGUCCACAAACAGGAGUUCCUGGCUACUGUGUACUAAAGACACUAGAACCUGACAAGACGAAACAAAAAAGUCUCCCUUAUAGAAUUCAAAAAAUGUAGAAUCUGAAAACAAUAAGAUUCCAGGCAGUUAGUUAUUUCUCUUAAACCUUAAAGUACCUUGUCCAAACUCUUGACAGAAGAUGAAAGUUUGCGUAUAGCAGAUUCAGUGUCCUUUGAAAUUGACAGACCCAGACGGCCUGCAAUUCUCAAUCCGCGCAAGAUUCUCGCUAAAUGACAGUACCAAGGCCAGUUAGAACUGAUAACGCAUUUACCAACAGCAUCCUAAGUCUCAAGUAGCUAAAAAAAUUUAAAAAGAGGUGGAAGCAUCUACCACAGUCCUCUUGGAAUGACAAGCGAGCAGGGAUUACAGUCCGUAGCUGUGACAAUAUUACAAAUUAAAAGAGGGGUUGUUUAAAUUACUGCUGAACCAGAGAAUUAAACUCAGAUUACAUUUUGCUAGUAAAUAAAAUGAGGGGAAAGUACCUUUAAAAAACUUAAAUCUGCCAUGCCAUUGGCAUAAUCAAAGAUUUGAUUCAUGAAUGGGUCAAAGAACAAACUGCUUCCACAAUUUAAAUAAUAAAAUUCAGGUUAGAUUGCAUCAACUAAAAUUACAGUUAAUAUCUUGUACUUGUUAUACUUCAACACAUGAUCAUCAUGGCAUAGUGCAUAGUUCUUCACACAUUCAACACAAAUGGUAAAACGAUUGUCCCCAUAAACAAAAUUAGAAGAAAUAAGUAAUUGUGCCUGUUAAUUGUGAAAUCCCGAUGCAUACUAUUUCUCCACCGGAUGAAGUCCCUUCCAUUGCAGCCACUUGGUUUUUGAGAUAUAAGGACCUCUUCUUUUCCUUCAUUGUGCUGAGCUACUGUCUCAAAACUGGAUACCUAUCACAAAGAAAAAAGAAGGAAAGAGAAAAGAAGAUCAAUUAAGAACAUAUGCUUCCUGCAUGAAUUCAAAAUGUUUAGACACCAAUCAUCACAAGUAAUUAAAAUAUAAGUUACUAAAACAGCACUUUUCAGACCUCAACUACUGAUCCUUUCACAUGCACUCUACAUAUAGGAAAUCGUCGUCCAACAAUCUCACAGCGAUGGAAUUGCUUCUUAACCUGUUAUUAGAUAUUGCAAAACCAACACAUACUUAUUGAACUCAACUACCUAUGAACUUAUUAGCAAAAGGAAUCCACAAACAAAAACUGGUAGACGAAAAAGAAAAGAGAAAGAAACAGCAGAAGAAAACCUGUUUAAGCUUAGCAGUGGUGAUCACAUCAAAAUCUUUAGGUAUUCUAUUGAGAAGUAAAUCUCUCACGCAUCCACCAACCAAAUAAGCUUCAAAUCCUGAAAUUCAUGAAAAAACUAUCAACUGGAAUAGGCACUCAUGUAAAGAAGCUUCACAUUUAAAACAUUAAAAGGCACAAUAAAACUAGCAUCAUUAAUGGGUUUGGCGACACAAUAAGGGCCAUACAACAUAAUACAUCAGCUCUGGGAAUGUAUAUGUUGAAAAAAACAACGGUUACCCAUUUACUUCAAAGUGAACUUUUUCCUAAUCUUCACUAAUUAAAAGAAUAUCAAGCGUCACAUAACAACUAAAAGAAAUAUUACCUUUAUUAUGCAGAAUUUUCAAAACAAGCCAUGGAGAAGGUGGAAUCAUAGAACGCUUGAUACCAACAGCACUUGCAUUUAUCUUUUUCCAUUUUGAUAUGUCAAUUACAGUACCUAAUUCAAUUAUUAAAACUGAUAGUUUAAGUAAUUACACGCAUAUAUAACUUCAAACAUUGAAAAAAGAAAGAAAAAAGUAAAUAAAAGACUGAAAGAUGAGAUUUUGACUUACUUUGUUGAUCCUUGGAGUCAGAGGAAAUCAUUCUAGGAUAUAGUGGAGUUUGUUCGAUUAGAGAGUGGUUGAAUCUCUGCACAUGCAUCAAUUGAAAGUAAUGUCAUAAAGCUGUUCGACGAAUUGCUCCAGUGAAAAUAGAAACAGAUAAAGAAGAUGAGCUAACCUGUAAGGUGGUUAGGUUUCUGAGACGAGAUGCGAAGCAACUUUUGGCUCUGAAAAUUAUCGCCAUUUGAGUACAAAAUCAUGGCGCCAUUGCACUUGCACUUGCACUUGCACUUGCACUUGUCUAGUAUUAUUAUUAUUAUUAGUAUUAGUAUUAUUAUUAUUAUUAUGGCGAUCUUGCCGUGUAAUAACAAGUUUGCAUGAUAAAAACUCAGGUUUGUUCAUGGACCAAACAAAGCCCAGGCCAUAUACGUUCGGCAAGUUCAGUACAAUUGUUUAUAAUUGGGCUUUAGUUGGAUUAUACAUAGAGUCGAAUUCAAUAGGCCUAUGCUAGACCUCUUAAACCGCAAACUACUUGGAUUUUUCAAUUUUAAACGCGAGCUCGAUCCGACUUUGCAAGGUGUAAGAUUAAAUUAACAGUUGAUAUAAAGGCAGCUUAAAUACCAUUUUAAAGUAUAUACAGAAAGCACCCCGCCCCGUUAAGGAUCGGACGGCUAGAAAAAGUUUUUAAAGCGGGUCGAAUCAGGUUAAAGUAAUUUCCACUAUAUUUACUUUAAAAUAUAUUUUUAUUAGUUUUUAAAUAUAUGUUUUUAGUAUUUUAAUUAUUAUUAAAUAUAAUCAAAUAAAUAAAAAAUUUAUUUAUUUUUAUUUUAUAAAUAAACAAUUCGAAUAUAGUUCGAGAUAAGAACAAGACGGAUGGCUUAAACACGUCUCCAUUCCAUCUCUAGUAGCAUGACGAAUAUCUUCCGCCCAUCUAAGUAUUACAGAUAAUACCCACGAAUACACAAAAAUUACAUCUCUAUAAAAUUAAAUUAAAUCAAAUCCAUACAUACCUGCNNNNNNNNNNNNNNNNNNNNNNNNNNNNNNNNNNNNNNNNNNNNNNNNNNNNNNNNNNNNNNNNNNNNNNNNNNNNNNNNNNNNNNNNNNNNNNNNNNNNNNNNNNNNNNNNNNNNNNNNNNNNNNNNNNNNNNNNNNNNNNNNNNNNNNNNNNNNNNNNNNNNNNNNNNNNNNNNNNNNNNNNNNNNNNNNNNNNNNNNNNNNNNNNNNNNNNNNNNNNNNNNNNNNNNNNNNNNNNNNNNNNNNNNNNNNNNNNNNNNNNNNNNNNNNNNNNNNNNNNNNNNNNNNNNNNNNNNNNNNNNNNNNNNNNNNNNNNNNNNNNNNNNNNNNNNNNNNNNNNNNNNNNNUGUUAAGGUAUCUUUCUCCAAGACAAACACGCCUUUUGUCUCCCGACAAACCACCACCGCUUAGAGGCGCGUGAAGAGAUCUCCCAUCUCAAGCGCGUAAAUAUUCUAAAAGUCCCUGGAAUACCCAAACACGCAUCAAUUAUAAUUAUACCUUACUCACCUUGGUUAUCCAAGUUACAUGCGAUUCCUCCCAUGUACAUAAUGACUCCAAAAUAAACCGGUUCGUUUUAGUAUUAUAUUCAACUAGUCAGUCUAUUUGCACGUAACUAUCAUUAACGAUAUAAAUUUAAUUAACAAUAAAUUUUAACUAAAUUUAUCUUAUCUUAAGAGUAGUAAUAAUCUGAAAUUUUUUUAAGUGUUUUACUAAUAGAAUUUAAUAUGUUAAAUAAUUAUAUUAAAAAUAUUUGUAAAUCAAUGCAUUAAUAUAUUUUUAUAAAAUUAUUAAUAUAUAAUUAAUAUUUCUUUUUCUUACAUCUAAAUUCAAUUUUCUGAUUUUAGCAAAAAAGAAAAAAAAAAUUAUCUUCUUUUCUUAAAGAAAAAAAUUAAAAUCUUUUUAUCGAUUACAAUUUUUUCAAACCUUCAAAAAGAGCAUUAAAAAAAAAGACUCAACUAGUAAGAUUAUUUUAUCAGCUCCAAAUAAAAGAAGAUUAUUUCAUAAUUUUUAAUCGAUAAAAUAUAUUAUAUAUGUUUUAUUUUACUUUCAUAUUAAAGCUAAAUCUAAAAUUUGAUACAGUAUUUAUUUAUUAAAAUUAUUGACAUAUAUUAAUUAUAGAACGAAAUCAUUAGCAUAUUAAAAAAUUUUAUAUCUUAAAUCUCACAUACAUAUAAAUUAAUUGUUAGUUUUGCUCAAUGUAGUUUUUUUAUUUUCAAUUUUAUUUUGAAUUGAUCAAGUUAUUAUUUAAUUGACUGUUCUAAUUUUUAUUUUUUGUUACAAUCUAUUUAACUUUUUAUUCUUAUAACAUUUAUAUUGUUUUUAUUUUAUUAAUUUAAUUUUUGGUACGAGAAGAAAUUAAACCUAACCGAUUGACUAGUUUGAAAUGGUGCUCACGGUUCGGUUUAGGUAUGGUGGUCGCACCAGCAUACACACACAGUUUAAUUAAAAAUUUCUUUAUUUAUAUAGAUUUUAUCUUUAUUUUUUAUUUGUUUUUUCUCUUAACGACCUUUCUCGCUAUUCUUGGCUAUUGAAUAAUUUCUUGGUUCUUCUUCUUGGCGAUUGUCCCAAAUCUAGGGUUAGGGUUUUCUUUUUAUUUGUUUAAUUAGCUAAAUUGAAAGUGGAUAGUAUGGGAGGAGGCAAUGGUGCUAGUGUAGAUGAAUCAUCCAACGGUGGAGAUGAAGUGAACGUGAACAUAAGAUGUUCUAACGGAUCGAAAUUCUCGGUCGGAAUUAGCUUAUCGGAGUCGGUUGAAACGUUUAAGACAGUGCUCGCAGGAAAGUGUGAUGUGCCGGCCGAUCAACAGAGGUUGAUUUAUAAGGGACGGAUCUUGAAAGACGAUCAAACCCUACAAUCCUAUGGUAUAUACAUAUUUAACUCUGUUUCUUAUUUUUGUCUAUAUUUGAGAAAUUUUUGUUUUCUUUGAUUGAGAAAAGAAAAUUAAAAUUUAUAUUUGCAUUAAUUGACCUUAUGUAAUUAUCAUUGAUGAAUGAAGAACUAUGUGCGGAUCUUAUCAAUUGGUAAUUUUAUUCCUGAGUAGAAUGUUGAUUAGAAGCUAUGGCUGACUAGAAACAGUAAUCACAUUGACAACUUAUUACCCCACCCGCUUGUUUGCAGAAUCUAUUACAAUACUGUUGCUAAUACAGCACUUUUAAUUGCUACUUAGAGAUUUCUUUUAGUGUUGUUUUCUUUCUUUCAAGUGUAAAAUUCUGUUAUUGAAUUCGUGAAGUUGUGGCUGCAUAGUACUGGCACUUGAGUCUGUGUCAUAUUUUCUUUCUUUACAUUCUUUCUUAUACAUCACUUUGAAUUCUACAGGCUACUGCCUGUACGUUUGCAAUGUAUUGGUAUAUUUAUCCUUAAGGAACUUGAAAACUUUUGUGGGAGCCAGGACCUCCUUGUCUAUUUUGGUUCAACUGUUACUUGAGUAGCAAUAUUUUUAGAUGACCAGUUCCCACUAUGAUUUAACUGUUGUACAUAAUACCAUUGAUGUAUUUCUUAUUGCAUUUAUGAGCCCCUGUUGAUUGAUCAAAAAGUUUGAUUUAAUUAAUUUUGCUACAUAUUUAAGGUUUCUUCUUGAUGAGCGUUAGUAAUAUUGUGUUUACUUAUGUUAGUAAUAUUGUGUUUACUUAUGUUAGUAAUAUUGUGUCUACUUAUCUUACAAUGCGGGAAUGAGUUCUGAUGGAACUGAAGGGAAAAUAUGCACAAAUUCCCUGUCUUAUGUUUUUGUUGAGCCUUUUCUUUUUCGUCUGCGUGGUAGGUGAUUAUUAUUAAUUACGUUUCUUUCAUUCUCCUAUUAAAGUGUAAAACAGAUUUAUAACUUGCUUUCUACCUAUCCCUCAUUCAUUAGCUUCAACUCGUCCUUCUUAUGGAUCUAAGCUGGGUUGGCUUGUUAGGUUCUGUUCUUAGUUAUCUUUUUCAUAAUAGUUAAAGGCCUUCCUGAAGUGCAUGGUGUAACGAGUGCGUGCUUUACCAUCUUAACCACAAAAGGUGGGUGACAUUGAUCAGGCAUGUGCCUUAGUAACAGUGUGUCAAAAAGGAUGCACUUUUUUUUCUUUUUUUUAAAGGAAGAUAUCUCAAGUGGUUAUUUGACUGGAGAUAUCUCAAGUGGUUAUUUGACUAUGUCAUAAACUUACUCUUCUUGUACACCAAUCAAAAUGAAAGAACAAAGGAAAAGGACAAUCAGAAAAUGUACCUCUUUUUGCAAACCAUCAUAUAUGAUCUCUUUCUUUCUUCUUUAUUUUUUUAGUCUUCACUCAAUCAUCCUUCUAACUUGUUCCAACUGCUCUUGGUCUUCUCUCUCUUCCUCUCUCUCUGUUAUUCUUUUCAUCUAUCUCAAUGGUUUGCUAUAAAAUUUUAUAAUAGUUGCACCUAACAUCUAUUAGGUGUGUGCCUGUGCCUUGCACCUAGAAUCUGGGACCCUUGGCAUUUUGCCUUUAAUAACUGUGGCCUGUUAAAUUUAGGCGACUGCCAUAGCUGAAGAAUCGGCGUCUUUGAUGGUUGAGUUGUUUGGAUUUUGGUACAUGUUAGAAGGUGAUUCUUAUGACUGUUUUUAUUUAUUUAUAAUUAUUUCUUUUUAAUUCUUGAUGAUGGUUAUUGUAAUGCAGGAUAUUUUCUUUCAUUCUUUUGCCCUCACAGAUGUAAUGAUUGUAAUAAUUAUCAUUAUUCUAUUCUUGCUGGCUGCUACUCAAACCAUCCAUCGCAGAUUUAAAUUUAUCAUCUAAAAAUAAUCAAAUUAUUAAUGACUGGAUGGAACCAAAAAAUAGUCCCCCUCAUGUGAUAUUACAGGAGAUUCUCAUGAUGAAUUGAGUAUGGUUGUAUGUGUGAUAGCAUUUACUUUACCAGGAAUCUCAUUGAUGAGGAUUUGUCUGUAAAAUCUUUGGGCUUGACAUAGAAUAUGCUAGGGUAUUAGUAUUUGUAAUUGGUAAUCAGAACCCCGAGAUAUAUGAACUUGCAGCAAAUCUUUGUCUGUACUUCCUUUUGUUAACAAAUGUGCCAUGUCAUUUGUAUACCAUUUUUAUGGCUUGCUACAUCUUUUCUCUACAUGAUCAGAUGUUCUAGUAAGGUCCAGUCAUGCCAUCAUAUGGGAACCUUCUGCUGAUCUUUUAGUUGGAAUAGCAUUGUAACUUCUGUUGCUUAUGGAAAGUUAUUUGAGGAAGGAUAUAUUAGUAAUUGUUGAGAUAUUUUCUUUUCAGUGCAUGAAUUCAUUGGAUCUGAUUUUUUUCCUUCCAUGAUUGCUAGGCCUGGAGGCAGAUCAUACUGUCCACUUGGUUCGUGGUUUUGCACCAGCUGCAGCAGCUAACACAGCUCCUCCGAGCAAUACUGGAGGUUCAAACCCUGCUUCAACUAAUACAAGGGCUGUGGGUUCCAAUGAAGGUGGAGCACUUGGAGGAUCUGACUUAGGACUAUUUCCAGGAAUGCGUUUAAAUGGCUUGGGUGGCAGUGCUGGUUUGUUUGGCGCUGGACUUCCAGAGUUUGAACAGGUGCAGCAACAAUUGACUCGGAAUCCCAACAUUAUGAGAGAAAUAAUGAAUACACCUGUUGUUCAGAACCUAAUGAAUAACCCUGAGAUCAUGCGGAACUUGAUUAUGAAUAAUCCUCAAAUGCGUGAAAUCAUUGAUCGAAAUCCUGAGCUUGCUCAUAUACUUAAUGAUCCUAGCACCCUCCGUCAAACACUUGAAGCUGCACGAAACCCUGAGCUAAUGCGUGAGAUGAUGCGCAAUACUGAUAGAGCAAUGAGUAACAUUGAAUCUUCUCCUGAGGGUUUUAACAUGCUUAGGCGCAUGUAUGAAACUGUUCAGGAGCCGUUCCUGAAUGCAACCACAAUGGCCGGAAAUACUGGAGGUGACAGUGCAAAUCCAUUUGCAGCUCUUUUGGGGAACCAAGCAGGGAACCAAGCUAGCGAUGCGACCACUAAUCCAUCAAUUGCUAGUUCUGAGUCCACCACUGGUUCUCCAGCUCCAAAUACUAACCCACUGCCAAACCCAUGGACUGCUACUGGGAGUAAGCUUAUUUUUAAGCUUUUUGCUUAAAUUUUUUUAUUGUGACUGCUUAAAAGAUCAAUUGACUGCUUUUUCUAUACUGUUGGACUAAUGCAAUUAUGGCAGCUGGUGGUGCCCUAAAUAAUACCGCAAGGUCGAGUAAUACUGGAGAUGCUAGGCCACAGACCCCUGUUGGGCUAGGUGGACUUGGUCUUCCAGAGUUUGACAGCAUGUUUGGUGCUAUGCCAGAUUCUAAUGUAAUGAGUCAGAUGUUGCAAAAUCCGGCUAUUUCACAAAUGAUGCAAAGCCUCCUUUCCAAUCCUCAGUACAUGAACCAGGUACAACUUAUCACGCCAUUUGGUAAAAGUUUUCAGUUUGAACAUCUUGCAACUUAACAUAAUUUUGUUCCAGAUGUUGGGUUCUAAUCCUCAAUUUCGAAGCAUGCUUGAUUCCAAUUCCCAAUUUAGGGAGAUGAUGCAGAACCCAGAAUUUCUUCGUCAGUUGACUUCUCCUGAGACAAUGCAGGUAGAAGACUUUUCCAGCUGUUUGUGCUUGCUUGUAUCCCCUUCAGUUUCUUUCAUGUGUGUCAUGCACAUGCACUCACAUACUUCUUCCCACUAAACACAUCAUUUUCCACAAACAUACAUGUGAAGUAAAAUUGGGAUGCAACUGAAAGUUACAUUUUGAUAUUGAUUUUUUUUUUUUUUUGGUUUCAAGUUUUAUGACAUUUACAUCAUUUGAUUAGGAUGGAUUGAAGGAAUUGGAAAAUGAUAUGCAUAAUGUUUUGCUAAUACAAAGGGUAAUAAGUUAGAGGUUUCUUUCAUGCAGCAACUUUUGACUUUCCAGCAAGCUCUGUUGUCUCAGUUUGGUCGGCAGCAAUCAAAUCAGUAAGUAGAUAAUAGUUUCCUUUUUUUUUUUUCACUCUCUCAAGCUUACUCUGAUAAUGGUUUGAAUGGCUUUAUCUGUUGGGUUUUAUAUUCUUAUGAUUACCAUACACUUAUGUUGGUUAUCAUUUCAAUGGCUCGUUUUUUUGGCUUACUAAGUUGGUGCCCUCUUGCAGGGAACCUGGCCAGACUGGUGCUGGAACAGGUAUGGAAGAUGGUCUCUAAAAUAUACUGUCUUCUUUUGACGAUGUUGUGGUUACAUUAUUAUGUUAGGUAUUAUUGCACAUAAUUCAUAACUGUCAAAAAGUGAGGUGAAAUUUGAAUGCUUUUAUUCCCAACGGAUUGGUACUGGUGCUGCUCAGCUUCUAUUUUUGAGCUCUUCAACUUGGGACUUGAAGGAAAUGUUCCAUAAGAUUUUGUGAUAUCUAUAUCAUGGAGUGGAUCCUGAAAACUAUUAACUACUUCUGGCCUGUCAGCAUAAUAAGAUUAGUAGCAUUAGUUUUGUCUUGUACUUGAUGAAACGAAAGGGGCAUGGGCAUUUGUACAACAGAAAUGGAAAAUUACUUCAUUAUGACCUUGAGAUUUUGGAUUGAAAACCUUGAAAUAACCUCCUUACAAUGCAUGUAAGAUUGUGUAUCUGUAUUCUCCCAGAGUCUGCUGUGCAGGAAUCUUUGUGUGCUGUUUCACCAAAUGGAAUAGUCUUAAACAUAUAUGUUAAGUCUUAGCAAUUAUCUCGAAAAGUCUGUUUUAUUAGAUCUCUUCCUGUGAAGUUCUGGUGUUCUUGAAGUCCACUGCCUACUUAUGUCAAGAACUUAAUGGGAUUUCCAUUGUAAUUGCUUGUUGACAAUUGUCAUUGCAUGAGAAGGUUUCUGCAUUGGACGCUCUACCAUUUCUCAUUUUAACAGCUGAUGUACCACCAGUGGUUUGACUGAAUUCUGUUUCUCAUAUUUACCCCUCCAUUGACCUCCCAAAACAGGGAGUACUCUCCUCCAUGAAUUCCGCUCUCUUUCUGCUCAUUCACAGUUACUCACAUACUUGUACAUAAAAAGGAGGAUAUUUCGACUUUUGAGCAAUGGGUUGGUUUUUACUGAUUUCAUUAAUGCAGGAACGCCGAACAAUAUGGGCUUAGACAUGUUGAUGAACAUGUUUGGUGGCCUUGGGGCUGGCAGCCUCGCUGUUCCCAACAGAUCCAAUGGUUGCUAUUCUUGCCCUGUUUUUCUUUAUCGUCCUUGAUAUCUGUUUCAUCUGCAUUAAACUUAAUCCAUUCCAUUUCCUGUUUUUUCAGUGCCCCCUGAAGAACUUUAUGCAACACAGUUGUCACAGCUUCAAGAAAUGGGUUUCUUUGACACGCAAGAGAAUAUACGAGCACUAAUUGCGACUGCAGGGAAUGUCCAUGCUGCAGUAGAGCGACUUUUGGGGAAUUCUGGUCAGUAAUUUAUUUAUAUUCCAUUUAUCUGGUAAGUGACCGUUUGGACUGGUGAAGUUGGUCAGUCUAGACCUGAGUUGUAUUCAAGCCCUCUUUUUGGGUAUAAAUAAGUUCUCAAUUAUGAUAGUUAGGGCUGUGGACAUUCUUGGUGUGUCUAUGAUCACUGAAUGAUCUUUUAUCCCUCUCCUCCCUCCUUCUCUCUCUCUAGCGAGGUCUGUCAGGCCAGAGUGUCUUGUACAUACUUUAUAUUAAGAUUUGUUAUAUGAAUUGUCUGCAAAAAUUCCUUUUUAACUUUUCUUAAUUGCAACAACCUCCUCAUUUAGUUUUCUUCUCUCAUUUUUUUCCUUCAAAUGUCUCAAGUCUGGUUUUUAAUGUAUACUUGCUGCCAUUAUUAAGUUCUUCUGUUUCUUUUCUCUUUUGGUUGGUGUCUUUGAUGAUGGAGAAAGUUGUGUCGAAAAUGGAACAGACGGAAAAAGAGAUUUCUUAAAAAAGAUGCUAAAGUUAUUUCUUAUGGUAUAAUGCAGUUCCCCUUUUAAAUAUCUGUGGUUCUGGGAGUAGGGAACUUGCUGCCUGAUACAGUCUUAUUAUUUUGCACAUCUGAAGGGUGCUCAUGGCGCAUAUUUCUUAUGUCUGUAUUCUGAUGGGGUUCAUGCUUUCACAAAAGAAGGUUUUAGAUUUAUUGCUAUUUUGUUUCAACAACCGAUAAUGGUUAAGGGAGACUGCAAUAAAAGUUUCCUAAAACUGAAGCGAUUUUACCUUUUGUAAUUCAAAACAUGUGGUCAUGAACCCUGAUCGCUCUUCCUUACCUAAACUACCCACUGUUUUGAACUACCGGAUUAGAGACAAUUUUUUGCUCCUUGAUGGCAGAAUUACGGAGUGCAGCAUUGAAGAUUGAUGAUGAAACCGAGAAACUUACAAUUUCCUUUGGCAAUUAUACAGAUCAAUAUUCAUCGUAAAGUUAAGAGGUAUGGAUUUAGAAAUGAAAAAUAUAAUAAAUAAUAAUAGGUAAAUGAUUGGAUUUAUUAAAGCUAAUUAGAUGGUUUAAUUUUAUAUAUUACUAUAAAACUAAAAAAAUUAAAUACACAAGCUGCCCAUGUGGCAAAGUUUAAUUUGCUUUAGAUCUUUCUUUUUAUUAUUAUUUAUUGAAGGCCUAACAAUCAAGUAUACUGGGGAUAGUCAUUAUCUUACAAGCUAUAAAAAUAAAAACUCAUUGCAUAAAAAAUGGUUCAAAUCAGAGAUUUUUCACCCUAAAAGUAAUUUGAGUUUUUUUUACUUUUGCUUUUAAGGAAUUCUAGAUUUUAUAAUUUAAUAUCUAUGAAUUCUGAAAUUUAUGGAUUUUAAGAAUAUUAUCUUUAGAUUAAAUAUAAAAACAAUAAUUCCAUAUUGUAUACUAGAUAAUAACAAAAAUUUGAAAAACAAAGAAAGAAAGUAAAAAAAUAAAGACCUAUGUACCUUAUUUAUUUACUAUUUUUAUCGGUUUAGUUUUUCCUUUUUGUAUUUUUUUUUUUUUUUUUUUUUGGAAAACUAAGUCUAUCGGAAAAAUGGUUUUAUGAAAAAUUAAAAUCAAAUUUAUAUAAUACUGAAGUGAUUUUUAGAAGUACAUUAGCGUGGGUUGGUUUUCUUUUGGACCGAACGCUGCUCAUCCUUAAUCACAUCCCUCCCAGGAAAAUAAUAGAGCAAAAACAUGAACUAAAUUUAAACCCAACAAAGUAAAAAAUCUUCAAUAAAUUAUGUAUACUGACUAAGGAGUUAUACAUUUUCUCAGGCUAAAGUGUCAAUUUGCCCCUUAGAUUUAGAGUCAAUGGUCAAUGCUCCUAGGUUUUAAGUUUAUGUACAAUUUACCUAGUAACUUGUUAAAAGUGACAAAUUCAUCUCAAGCAGAGAAUUAAAAUCAUAAAAAAAAAAUUCAAUUUGAUCCUUGAAUUUUAAAUUAAUUGUCAAUCGUAUAAAAAUAAAUGUUUAUUAAGUUAUGAUAAAAUUAUUUAAUUUUUAACGUAAUUUAAUCAUAAUAUCUAACAUAAAUAAUUUAAUAAAUUUGUUUAAUUAAAUAAUAUUACUAAAAUCAUAUAAGAUUAUGCUUUUAUAAAAUUAGAGUAAAAUGUUAUAUUUUAGCAAUAGUCUUAUUUCUAAUUGAAAUAAUUUAAUAAUUUUUAUUUAGUCUCGGACUUGGUUCAAAUCUUCAAAACUUAACUUGGUGAGAUAUUGUAUAUGACUUAAUAUUUUUAAAAUUACUUAAUAUUUGAAACAUUUUAUUAUACUAUUUAUUAUAUAAGAAUUUGUACAAAUCUAUUUAAUUCUAACAAACAUAAUACAUUAUCACAAUUUAUACUUACUAAUUAUCUUAAUUGAUAAUUAUUAACUUUUAUUAGACAUUAAGAGAAAUUAUAUAAAUUAGAUAAUUUUUCUCUAACUCAAUUAAAAAAUAUUCUUAUAGAUUUUGAUACUUAGUAUAGUUCAAUGGCCAAAUUUAAUUCUUAUUAUGAAUUAAAAACUUUAAUUAGUGGAAAUUGGUUACUUCUAACAAGUUGUUGGACAAAUUGACGAGAAAGUUCAAAUAUUGGUAAAAUUGUUCAAUGCCUCCAAAUUGAGGGACCAAAUUGAUCCUUUAUCUUAUUUUCUCGACUAGUGUUGUACAUUAGCAAGGUUGGCCUUUUUCGUUAUAAAUUAAUUUCUCCUUUAUCAUUUUUUUUUCCAAAGCUAUUUUCAUACGAAUAAAAGUAAAAAUGUGUACAAAUAAAAAUGUAAAUAUAAUAAAAUUCAGUUCAAUUUCAUGCCGUGGAAUAAGAAAUUAACAAAGUAGUAAUGGAUAACUUUUGUACUAAAUAGCAUAAAAUAGUAAUGAAAAUAAGCAUUAUUAAAUUUAUCGAGAUUUAGCAACAUAAUAGUAUUAAAAUGAGCCAUGAAUGAUUUUUGUUUCUAAAUUCAGCACUAAUUUUUAGCAAUGAAAUAACAAAGAAUUGGCGACAGCCUUUAGCAACAGAAAGGUAUUCCAUUGCUGAAGUAUCACACGUAAUAGGCAACAAAAUUAAUGGUAGACACAUUUUCAUUGCUAAAUGGCGACAAAUAAAUAGUUCUAGCUAAUGUAGAAUGCAUUACUUAUCAUUUCUUUCUUUCUUUCUUUUUUACAGCCACUGGAAAUCUUAUAUUAUUUUCUUAUAUUUUGUCUUUCUUCCACUCAUUUAUUUCAUUUCCAACUGAAUUAGUUAAUGAAAAAUGUUAUUUAGUAGUGAUAUAAUAUUAAUUAAAUUUAAUUAGAAAAUAGACUAAAAUAACUCUUAAUAAAGUUUAAAGUAUUGAAAAUAAAUUAAAAUCUGGUGAGAAAAAUCAUAAAAUUUUUGUUAGGAGCAUCCACAGUAAUUAAUGCGAUCAAUUUAAAGUCUUUUUCCAUCAAACUUUUAAGUGACAAAUGGGUUUUUAUCAAAUAAUUAAAUUUUUAUUUCAAUUUGAGAUACAAUUACUGUGUCUUAUUUGAGCCAAACAGCAACAUCCUUUUUGUUAAUUCUAAAUUGUUCUCUAAUUUUUUUUCUUUUCUUGCUCAUUUAUUCUUUUAGCAACAAAUAUCUAUGUCCUUACUCUUUUGGCAACCAAUAAUUACUUUAGCAAUGAAACUAAUAAAUAAAUGUCAACUAUCUAUCAGUUUAGUGUAUAAGUAGAGACAUAUACUAAGUUUUAAAUAAAAAAUUUCCAUUUAAUAAUAUAUAUAUAUAUAUAUAUAUAUUUUCUUCUUCAUUUCAUUUUCUAUCUCUCUCAUUUUUUUCUUUCAAUUUUAUCUACCACUUUCCCCCUUUUCCUUCCUCUCUUCCAUCAAUUUUUUUCUCUUUUUCUUUCUUUUCAUUUUCUUCACUGUUUCUUCAUUUUUCUUUUUCAUUUUCUAUUUUUUUCUAUAACUUUUUCCUCCACUUUUCUCUUUUAACAGCAAUAACAAUGAUAAAAACAAUAUUAUUAUUGAUUAAAAAUCAAUUGAAUAUUGAAAUAAAAUAAAAAAUUGAAAACUGAUUUAAACAGACAAAUAUUCCUUCUUUUUUUUAAUCAAUAGACAAAUAUUCCUAUUCCUUAGAAAAAUUGACAUUGUAACAAUAGGCUCAGUAUUGUAUUUUAAGGAAAAUUAAAACUACUUUAGAAAUAUUUUUUUGCCACCACUAAUUUUGUGACUGAUUCUUUAUCGUUGCUAGUUGUGGCUGAAUAAUUAAUCUAUCAGAAAAGCAACUUAUAUUUUCUUUUUCUUUUAGCGACGAAAAUUCUCACUGAAACUUACGAAAAAAUAUAUUUUGUUUCUAAUUUUAGUGACAGACCAACUAAUUCCUUCACUAAAGGUCUUUCGCAGUGGAACUUUGCCCAUUAGCAAUGGAUUUUAUUUCAUUAUAAGUAUCUUCUUCUUCUUCUUCUUCUUCUUCUUUUAGUGAUCCAUUAGGAUUAUGAUGGGACACAAUUUUUGGUAUAUAUACUUUUCUUUUUCUAAUUUGGAUUUUAAAUUCAAUCAAAAAUCUAAAGUUGAGACUAGUAAAGAUGAAUACUGCUAUUUAUGAUCUUAACGGCCUACUUAAUUUGAGAUUUUUCAAAAUUCUUAAUACCCUGUUUGGCAAAAAUAAGAUUAAAUUUCUUAAAACAAAUAGAUGUAAGAUUCUAAAACGAAAGAUAUAGUUUUUAAUUUUAUUUCAUUUUAAAAAAAUGGAUAGUAAAUAAAAAUUUUAGAAAGUAAUCUAAGUUUUCUUAACUAUAUUCUAUUUAAUUUAUUGAUUUGGUGGAUUGAGAUUUGCAGAGUUUUGGAAGUUUUUAAAAAAUUUUAAAAAAUUUAUUUUUUAAAUAUUAUUUUCUUUUUAAAAAAGGAUUGAAAGUUCUAAAACUUUAUAAAACCUUCAAACACUUUAAAAGACUUUCAUCCAAGUAAGCCGAAUCGGUUGCAUGAAACUUUAGAUUCUCUAAUUCUUGUUUGGAAAGAUGUAAGUUAAAUAUCUUUCAAAACUCAACUCAUCAAAUCGGUAAGUUAAAUAUGUAGAAUUUUAGUAGAAUUAAAUUUUUUUAUUAAAAUUUUUACCGUUAUUUUUUACAGUAGCUAAUUCAUUAUUAUCAAAUUAAAACCUAUAAAAACUCUUAGAAUUAUGUAAAUUAUAUCACCAAAUAUAGAGAUACUGAUAUAGAUAGUCAUUCAAAUUCGUAUUUAAUUUUAUUUUAGUCACAAAAUUUUAAUUUAUUUCGUUUCAGUCAUUCAAUUUAGUCAUUUCUCAAAUAAAAUAUUGGUACGUUGUGAAAAUAACGAAUAAAAAAAAAUAAAAAUAAAAAUGUGAUGUGUUAAUUUUUUAUUGGCACAGUAACUAAAUUGCAAUUAAAGUUAAAAUUGAAUGAUUGAAAUAAAAUAAAAUAAAAUAAAAUUUUAUAAUCAAAAUGAAAUUAAAUGCAAAACUCAGUAAUCAUUUAUAUUAUUAUUCUAAAAUAUAUAUAUAUCGCUUUUAAUUACAACGGUAAAAUUUCCACCCAUUGCCAAUUUCUUCAAGGUAAAAUUUUGUUUCUUCUCUUUAUUUUUAUUUUUAUUUUUUUUCCAAUUCUAUAUUUCUUUCUUUACAGUCUCCUUAUUCCUUUAGUAUGAAUCUAGUGAAGUUGACUACAAGACUGUUUAAUCAAUUAUUAUUGUUUUGUAUCUGUCACACGAUCAACUGUCUUAUCCAAAUCUAAUGAAUUUUUUGGCAGAUUGAAAAAAUAAAUCAUGUAAAAUGUUUGACUGUCUUGCUGGCCAAUUGACUGGCAAAACUUAUUAGAUUUCUAGCCUCAAAAUUCUAUUUAUGCAUUUUCUUUAUAAGCUCAAAUUAAUUUACUUAAUAUAGAGGGUAAAAACCAACCUUAGCAAACUGGGUACUUAUAUCCUUAUGAGUUAUAUUUCAUUCUUAAGUGCAUUUUAUUAUUUCUUUCUUUUCUAAUAUGGUUUUGCUUAACUUAUGAAUCUUUUAAUAUGUUGUAACAUGGGUUGUAGACAAAUAACAUAUGAAAAUAAUGUAAAACUGAUUUAAUCCUUAAUUUUGUAAUUUCGAAGCUUAAAUCCUCAUUUUUUAUAAGGAAUUAUUCAAUGGAGAGAAGACGAUAAAAUUAAAAAUAAGUACAAUUGAAAAGUACAAAUAAGAAUUUUCAAUUAAAUAGUAAAAAUUUAUAUUUAUAUUACGCUUCACUUGGUGGCUAUGUGAAUCAGAAAUCAAAUUUUUAGUCUUUACAUGAAUCUAAUUGUAGAAAUACUAAUAAAAGAAUUUAUAUAAAUGGUAUUUCAAAUACAUUAGAUUCUACAAAUAUUUCCAUAAAAGAGAAUUCAAAUAUUAUUAUAAACUCCAAAAAGGGAAUAAAAUACUCCAUAAACUCCAUAAAUGGAAUCAAAUACUUCAUAAAAAAAUUUAGAAAAUUCUCAAUGAAAAAAUAUAAAAAUAAAUAAAAAUAAAAAUAAAAAAGAAAAGCAAGAGUUUUAUUGGUCUUGGAUCCAUUAAACCCUCAUUUCAAGACCUUCAAAUUCAAAUAAUAAAUUUGAUAGCUAAACCAUAUGAAUAAAAAUGGCAUAGGGACAUUUUAAUACAUGUUAGGUGAGUCCAUGAAAUGAGUAACCAGGGUUUAUAUGUGACAGCACACACACACACAUAUAUAUACACAUGUCCAAACACGACCUUGCCAAUACAUUAGGUGCCAAACAAUUAAUUCUUCAUAGUAUUUAAAAUCUAACUAAGAUAGAAUCCAUUACAACUGGAACUGAAUCUAUAUACAGCUGAGAUUAUGAUAAUGUCAUUCUUAGCCAUUAGUGUCAAUUUUUGUGCUUUCUUUUUUUUUCCAUUUAAAUCAGAUUUCCUAUUUUUAUUUUCUUUUUCGGUACAUUGAAGAGAGAUCUCUUUUUCUAUUUUUAUUUUUAUUUUUUAAAAAAAACCAAAAUUGUUUUUAUUAUUCUUGGGAGCGUACAAGAAAGUACAGCUUGGAGAGUGAAUAUUCUGAUGAGGCUGAUCAGACUUCACUGGUGAAUCUCAAUCCUGCUGCAGGUUUAUAUUGAAGGAAGACUAAAUAAAGAAACUUUUUUUGAAAUGCUACAGAAAUGAAUGAGAUGGUUUCCGGUGUAUUUCUGGCCAACAAAUUUUUAUGGAAAAUUAUUUGUAAAUAGUUUAUUUCUUACAGAGAUUAAUUACAUUCUAUUAAUUCUGCAAUACUGUUAAAAGAAAUAAUUGUACCAUUUUCAUAUGUAAAUCAUAUAUGUUAUAAACAGUUAGCAUUCCUUGUCAAACAAAAAACAAAAUGUAAAUCAACAUGAAUUUUGUUUAUGCAACCCAUAAAAUGCAUAAAAAUUAUAAUUAUAAUUUUGUUUAAUAUUAUAAUUAUUUCUCAAGAAAAUGGUUUUUGUUUUAUAGAACGCAUGGAUUUUUGGUUCUAAUCUUAUGAAUUUGAUUAGUUUUUGUUUUAUUUUUUAAUAGUAAUAGUAAUUGAAGAAUAAAAGAAGUAAAUCUUAAUCUCCUGCCAGUGCAAAAAGGUACCAAUAUCCAUUGCAUCUCCUUGGAAGGAAACAAUGUCUCUCAAGAGAGAAACAAAAGAAAAAAAAAAAAAAACUGCCCCACUUGAGUAACACUAUAUAACUGCAUCAAAUGGCCGCUUCAGAUUCUUGUGCGAGAAAAACAUUAACGUUGAGAACUUGUAAUAAGCACUUCUUUCUCUUCAAUUUGUCAAUUUCCCAUUACCCUAAUGGCCAGCUCUUCCAGGGAAAACUCUCCCACCAAAUCCAACAGCCCUAAGGGCAAUGCUAAUGAAGAUGCUGUUCCUGUUCCUCCUGUUUCUGCUACCUUUCCUGUUCCUGCUGUUCCUGUUGCUACCUUUCCUGCUCCUGGCCCUGCUCGUGCCCUUCAGUUUGGAGAAGGAUCCUCUUCUGCGCCUCCUCUUCAGCAAUUAGUUGAAGGGAUUUCUUCUCCUUCGUCAUCUUCUUCUUCAUCCCCUGGCAAUACUCCGCCGCGUAGGAUUGUUGAGAUUGUGCUUGGAAGCAGUCAUGGCGGUGGUAAGUCUGGAGAGGGUUCUCCAAAAAAGAAGAAAGCUUUACCAUCAUCAGGGAAAAAGGAUGGUGAAAGUAAUCCAGGGGUAGAGAAGAAGAGGAAGAAAGCAGAAAUGGAUGCUCCAAAGUCAGAUCCAAUUUGUUCUUUAUGUGGGAAAAGAUUUGGUUCUUGGAAAGGUGUGUUUGGACAUCUUCGCGCUCAUCCUGAGCGUGACUGGCGUGGUGCCUUUCCACCACCAAAGGGAGAGGCUGCAUCUUGGUCUCCAAUCAAGACUGGUGGCCCUGAUGAUAACCAGGCUAUGCAAGUUGAAUUGCUGGCUCCAACUUUACUGGGUUUGGCUCGCGAAACCCUGUCAAAGAUGCGUCAGGAAUCCACUAGGGUUGGAAACAUAGAUUUGAACAAGGAACCCGAGUCAUCUUCUUCUCCCUCUCCUCCUCCUCCUCCACAGGGUGGUGCUAGCGCUGGCUUGGAUUUGAACAAGUCUCCUCCACCGGAAAGCGAUCAGGAUGGAAUCAAUGGUAAGGAGGAGUAAGGAAGAGGAGAGGCUGCAUGCAUGCAAACCCUAGACACAGUACACAAUAAACAUGGCGAAGUGAUACUGUUAUGCAUUAUUAUACCACAUUAGUUUGCAUGCCCUUUUUCUUUCAGUGUUGUGUUCAUUCCUAGUUCGAUGAAUUAUCAUGGUGUAAUGGAAUGAACCGGCGCCGCCCCCCUCCCCCUCUUUUUUCUUUAUUUUUAUUUUUUAAAAAUUUCUGUAAUCACUUCGUUACAUGUAGCCUAUAUGUAAGAGAUAGAUUAUAUUAUAUAUGAAUGGUGUGUUUUUUUUUUUUUAAUUCUUUUGGUGGUUUAGUGAUUUGAAUUUCUUGGGAACUGUGAAUUACAUCAUGAGCAUGACCAAAGCAUAUAUGCAAGUUCCUUCGCAGAUUUACUGUACAUACAAUAGGCGCAACCGUAUAUAUAUAUAUAUAUAUAUAUUUAUACCUUCAGAAAUCCUCCAAAAGAGAAGAAAAAAUUCCCUCUCCGAUUGGCCUGGAUGGUCGAGUUGAUGCUGCAGGAGUAGCGUUUCCUAGGAUGUGUUUGGUUUAGUUUGUGUCUCAGGAUUUCUUAAUUUCCUCCUCCUAAUGUUUAAAGAAAAAGAGAAAACAAUAAGAGGACUGACAUCUCUUUUGUAAAGUGUAUAUGAUUUUUCUUAUGAGUUAGAUUUGUGAUUGAUCAUAAGAACGGUGCUUACAUUUUAAGUUUUUAGUGCAUAACUACUUUAUCGAAUCAUUUAUAAAUACCUAUUAACGGUCAACUUGCGCGUUUAUUUUAAAGAUCAAAUUUCGCGCGCUUAUUUUAACGGUUAACGUCCGCAUCUUUUAUAAAUGUCAAGAGUUAUAUAUGGUAUCUUAUGAUUGUAAAACCGUUAUUUAAACGAUUAACUUCCGCAUCGUAAAACCGUUAUAUAUGGUUCCGCGCCUUUUUUAAAUACUAAGAAUUAUACUUGAAUUAAUUAUGAUUGGUAGAUUAAGCGUGAGUAAAAUUUAUGGUUAUAUGUGUCUUAUGACAUUAAUGUUUAAUUUGCUAUCAAAUCAUUUAUAGAUAUCCAUUAACGUACAAUUUCCAUAUAUAUUUUAAAGAUAACUUCAGCGUGCAUAUUUUAACGAUUAACUUAUGUAUCUUUUUUAAAUGCUAAGAGUUAUAUAUGGUAUUUUAUAGUUGUAAAAGCGUUAUUUGAACAAUUAACUUCCGUGCUUUUUUAAAUGCUAAGAACUAUACUCUACUUUAUGAUCGAUAAACCAAUCAUGAGUAAAAUUUAUGGUUAUAUGUGUUGUAUGACAUUAAUUUUUAAUUUGCUAUCAAAUCAUUUAUAAAUAAUCCAUUAAUAAUCAACUUUUGCGUGCAUAUUUUAACAGUCAACUUUCACGCGCAUAUUUUAACACUCAACUUUUAAGUGCAUAACAGGUAACUUCAAUAUUUAUUUAAAUGCCAUGAGUUAUAUAUGAUACCUUGUGAUUGUACAAAUUGUUACCUUUAACGAUUAAUUUCCGCGUCUUUUUUAAAUACUAAAUAUAUACUUUAAUUAAUUAUGAUCGAUAGACCAACUAUGAAUAAAGUUUAUAGUUAUAUUGUUUGACAUUAAUGUUUAACUUGCUAUAAAUAUAAAAUUAUUAUGUAUUCAAUAUAUAUACUUUUUCAUUUAAUUGUUAUUGAUUAUUUAAUAAAAAAUUAUUUAAAUAAUAUUUAUAUUUAAAUAAUAAUUCAUUUAGCGGUAAAUUAUUCUCUCUCUCUCUCUCUAUAUAUAUAUAUAUAUAUAUAUAAUCAUUAUAUUUUAUAAAAAGUUUAAUUACUAAUUAAGUCUCGAAUUUUAUAAUUUUUAAUAAUUUUAUCUAUUUGUUUCAGAUUUUGCAAAUAAACAUCUAUAUUACUAAUUUAUUUUCAGAAAUUCUCUUAAGAGACAAUUUUCGCCAUUUCAUAGUAAAAAAACAUGUGAAAAGUCUAAUGUACUUACUAAAAAAUAAAAAUUUAGAAGUUAGCAAAAGAUGUAUUUCAAAUUUAACAAUGUAGCUAUUAAAUAUCUUAUAUGCGUUCAUUUUUUCACACUUUUUAUCUAUUGCAGUAAACCUUUUGCUAAUUCUUAAAUUUCUUUCUUUUAAUAAUUACAAUCGAUCUACAACGUCAUCUUCAUCAUUGUAAAAUUAUAAAAAUUAUUAUCGAAAAGUGCUUUUAAAAAUAAAAUGGAAGAAUAGAUAUUUAUUUUUAAAUUUUAAAAUAAUUGGAUAAAAUUAUUAAAAGGUGUAAAGUUCAUGUUUAAUUAGUAAUUAGACCUUAGUUAAAAGCUAAGAGUUAUAGUUUCUUAUAAUCAUACAAACCCUACUUCUAUGCUUUUUUUCUUAAUGCCAAAAGUAAUUCUCUAGAUCUUAUAAUUGCAUAGAUCUAAGUGCGAGUAAAAUUUAUAGUUGUACGCAUGUCAUAGCAUAAUAUUUAAUUUUAUGUAAGUAUAUGAUUGUUGUGUAUUCAAUAGGUAGAUUCCAUAUAAUAAAUACGUUCGUAUUAAAAAAAAUGAUUUAAACAUAUAUGCUUAGUACUAAACUUUAACAACUAGUUUUUGCAUUUUUUUUAACUGUUAAUAUUUUAUAAUGAAAUAGUAGAAGUAAAUCGUGACUAAAAUAUUAAUAUUUAUGUGAUAAAAGAAGCCAUAUAUAUUUAAUUUUCUAUAAAUAUAUGUUGUUUUGUAGUUUAUAUAUAGAUUUCAUGAAAAGUAUUUUUCAUUAUUUUAUGACUUUUUAUAAAAGAACUCAGCUAAGCACUAAAUUUAACAGCUUAGUUUUGUACCACUUUCAGGUAUAUAAGACUCUAAUUACUAUGCAUUUCUAUCAUUCUUUAACUUGCUUCAUCUUCUCUCUAUCACUAGCUCUCUCUCUCUCUCUCUCUGCUCUCAAUCUUCCCUUUUCUUUGCUAUGGAGAACCCCAGUGACCCUAAGCUUGAGAGUUCCUCCCCUCAGCAACAACCUCAAGGCAAAAACAAUCCACAAAAUGAUGCAAAUGAAAACAUUUCUGGUAGGUCUUUACCACCCAAUGCUAUGCCUAUCUCUAGACUUGAAGUUACCACGCCUACCCAAUUUACUAUUGACACUGCUCCAAGGCCUAGUGCUCAUAUUAGGGUUCGAGCAGGAACCAAAAAUGGUGGUGGUGUCAAUGCAGGUGCUGAUAAGGGUUUUCGGAAGAAGAGAGGAAGAAGCUUAAGCUAUGAUGGUGACGUGAGGCCUAAGAGAAGAGCUGAUACUGGAUUACCAUCUACUUGUGCUGUUUGUGAAAGAAAAUUCCCAACUAUUUAUGCACUCUUUGGGCAUCUUCGUAUGCAUAACAAGAGGGAUUGGAGAGGGGCUUUUCCUCCUCCGGUGUAUAAUCCAGAUUGGGUUGAAAAUGGUGGUAGCAAUGUUGAUCAGAGUCUACAACAACCAGCAGCAACUCAACAAGUGGAAGAAAAGGAGGUGAUACCAGAACUUCUUGAUGUUGCUCAAGAAAUCUUAAAGAAAAUGCAACAAGAAAACAUCAGUAACGUUACUGAUCCAAUCAAGAAACUUGAAUUUGAUCUUAAUCUUCUUCCCCAAGAAAACUCUUCUGGUCCAUCAUCUAACAUGGCUUCUUCUCAAGAAAAGAUAGCUACUAGGUUUGAUCUUAAUUUCCCUCCUCCAAAAGAAGAUAAUGAUGAUCCACCAGCAAUUUGAGAUAUAUAUGCUACGUAGUAAUGAAGAUUACAUAAAUAUUUAAUUUUUGUUCUUAGUGUUGUGAGAAAUAUUACUUGGUUUUUGGCGUAUAAUUUGGACGUGCAUCAAAGAUCGAGUAAUAAGGUUCUCUUAUUUUUCUUUUAUAGUUUAUUAGUCUGUGUUGCAGUCUCGAAUUUCCAAAAGUAAUCCUCUUGUAUACUGAAGAAAAGUAAAACUUCUUUUUCGAGUCAUACUUAUAAUUAAUUAAGUGUAAUCGAGGUGCAAUAAAUGUAUCGAUAUAUUGAUCUAUUUCACUUUUUGUGAUUAUGUAUUUUUUGAGCCAUACUUGUAAUUAAUUAAGUGUAAUUGAAGUGCAACAAAAUAUAUAUGUCUAUAUAUAUAUAUACAUAUAUAUAUGAACAUGUAAGAAUUUAAGGAAAAACAUGCCCACGUAAUAUGUUGGACUAAAUUUUUUUUUUCUUGCCAAUCAAAUAAUUAAUUAGUAUAAAUCUACGUGGAAAUUAAUCUCCAGAGUCCUGUAUAAUGAAUGAGAAUUUAAGGAAAAAUUGACAACAGAUUCUGGUUAUGAAGACCAGAGGCCAGUUUUGGUAAGUUUCUUCAGAAUUUAGUUGUCAAUAUCUGCUAUGUAUAUAUCCAUCCGCCUUCUUUUUCCCAAAUUUGGUUCUUUCUGGUCAUCACCAUUAUUAUUCUUCUGAGAAUUUUGCACAUUUUAGGUAACAUUCUCAUAAUUUACCUCCUCAUUUUUCAAUGCACAGCACAGUGAUGACAAAUAUUUCUAUAUAUGUCUGUUUUAUAAUCAAAGUAUAAGUUGGAAUUACAUUUUUUUUUGGAUUCAUAUACCAAUUAUUUUAGUGAAAAUAAACAUGCCAUAUUAGAAUAGGAUUUAUGUUUUUGGGUAAUAUCUUAUAUUUUCCUUUUAGUCUUGUAACAUUUAUUCAGGUUCAUGCACCAAACAACACAAAGAAAUAUUGCUUCAUUUGCACCUUAUAAUUUCUUUAGAAAAAACUUAAUGGAGUGAAUGACAUUGCCAGGAGAUUUUAAGGAAUUAAGUCCUCUAUGUAAAAGUUGAAUUUUAUUUAAUAUAAACAUGAGGAGUAUGUCCCUUUAACAAUUACAUAAAUGUAAUAAAAAAUUAAAUAAAUAGUAUUAUAAAAUUCUGAUCUUUAUAGUCACUUCCUUUAUGCCUUUUCUCUUUUUUUCUUUUGUCCUGUAAAAAUGAAAGCAAGACUGAGAAAUGAAGUUGCUCUACAAGUGUAAUGGUGAAAGGGAGGGACUUGUUUGUUCAAAUUUGGAAGAAAAUAAAAGCUUAUUUGGAACUUUUUGAUAGCAUGUAUCAUUAAUUCAUAAUCCAAAAAGAUAAUCUCUAAAUUAAAUGCACAUAUAUGUCAGAGGAUCCUUAAAGAUUUGACAUCUUAAUUUAAAUUUUAUAGAUUUUGUCAAUCUCACUCAGAUUUUCCUUAUUUAUUUCAUGAAUAUACACUAUGGUUGUUGUACACAUGCUCAGUUGUGUUUCAAAGUAUUUGGUGUUUCCUUCCAAAAAUGAAAAAGUCUGGCUUCAUUGUUUCUACUGAGAAAGGGUUGGUGCUUACUGCUAUAAAACAACAGAAAAGGUAUAUUUGUGCAAUAAUUUACUAACAAAAAAGGGAUAAAAUCUCAUUUGGGUAAACACAGCCUACAAAUAUAGUUACAAAUUUAGUUAAUGAGAGUAAAAACUGUGGCCACAAUUUUUACUGAAUUAUAGUAAAAAAAAAGUAAAUAAAAUAUAGUUAAUUACCAAAUUUUGUGAUUGUGAUAAAAUUAUAUUACUGAACCUUCCAGAAAAAGAAAAUAUAUCACACAACUUUGGUUUAGACCAAAUAAAUAAUACAAUAAGUUGAUGUCAAUAAUCACAGUAUGGUAUAUUAAUAUACUUAAGGGCUUAAGAUUUUUCAACAAUUACAAAUCAAUAAAACAUAUUUUGUUCUUCUUCUGCUUCUUUUCAAUUUUCAAAUUUUUAAAUAUAAAUUAGGUUUUAUUUACAAAAUCUAAUUUCUUAGGCGAACACAAAAUUUAAUUUCAAAUGCAUAUCAAAAAUUAUAACAAAAGUCAUAAAAAAAGGAGAGACUAUCCGAUAAUUGUGCCAUAAUAUAUAAUCUUAUCCCACCCUUAUUUCUCUAAUUUAAUUUCCUUUCAACAUUUUUUUAAAUAUUUAAAUAUUGUAUAUAUAUAUAUAUAUAUAUAUAUAAAUGUUAAAACUUUCUAAAAUUAGAAUUAAAAAGAACGUGAUACUAUGGUCAUCAAUUGUUAAGAUUUGUGAUAUCUAGUUUAACUAAGUAUUUCAGAUUCUUAAUAUGAAUUCAGAAUCUCAUACUACAAAAAUAGAUCUGUGUUAAAUAACAUGAUUUAGUAGUAAAUAUCAUUCAUCGCUAAAUUGCAAUGAGUUACUAAUGGAUCACUGACGGCUGAGAGCAAUGAAAAAUCUAUCACAGACAAACGACGGUAGAGAGGGAUAAAAAAAUAUGCUAUGGCUGAGAAGGAUGAAAAGAAAGUGACAAUAUGAAAUUUUGUGUUAAAACUUUCUAAAAUUAGAAUUAGAACAAAAUUGAGCUAUCAUAGUCUUCAAUUAUUGUGCUAUGUGAUAUCUAGUUUAACCAAGUAUUUCACAUUCUUAAUGUGAACUUAGAAUCUCACACUAUAAAAAUAUAUAAAUUUAAUGACAUAAUUUAACAGUAAAUAUCAUCCAUCGCUAAAUUGCGUAGAGUUACCGACGAAUAAUGAUGACUGAGAAAAAUAAAAAAUCUACUACGGAUAAUCGGCGACUAAGAGGGAUUAAAGAAUGCUAUGACUAGGAAGGAUAAUAAAAUGCAAAAAUGAAAUGUUUUGCUAAAACUUUCUAAAUUAGAAUUAGAAGGAACCUGAGCUACCUUAGCCUUCAAUUGUUGAGCUAUGUGAUAUCUAGUUUAACCGAGUAUUUUACAUUCUUAAUGUGAAUUCAGAAUCUCAUACUAUAAAAAAAAAUUCUAUAUUUAAUGACAUAAUUUAGUGAUAAAUAUCAUCCAUCACUAAAUUGCAACGAGUUACUAACGGAUCAAAAAAGGGUGAGAGUGAUAAAAAAAAUCUACCAUGGAUAAGCGAUGACUAAGAGGGAUGUUAUGGCUGGAAAGAAUGAAAAAAGAACUAUAAGCUAUAGAUUGCCUGGCGAUUUGAUUAAAUUACUAGGCGAUCUAUAGCUUAAAGGAAUUUAAAGAAUAGAUCCAGCUUUGAAAGGUAAGAAAGUAGCUAUAACCAUACCUUGCUUCCAUUAUUUCUCCUCUUUUUCAAUUAAAAAAACUAACCGUAGCAUCUAUCAGAAGUCCAUGAUGUGUUAGAGGAUGCAGAGAAAGCGUGAUUACACCAAAGUACCAUCUCUAACCACUGAUUAUACUUUCUCAGUUAUCAUUGAUUCGUUCGUAACUUAUUGGUAACUCGACGCACCAUCUUUAACAAGUGAACAUAAGUUUUUUUAUUAAAACUUCCUUCACACAUAAAAUAUUACACUAAAGUAUAACUUGGUUUUUGACCCACACGUGCGAUUCUAAAAAACUAGCAUGGAAUAAUACUUGGCUUUAAGAAAUUAGGUAUAUAGAAAUCCUAUUUAUCAAUAACCUCCACCCUUACUUUGCUAAUAAUGCUAGAUUAAAAUUAUGAAGUUUUUCAAAACUUGACCCUCCCUCUUCUUUAGCAUUAUAACCUUUAUCCUACCUAGCUAAUUCGGUGUAUAUUUUCUUAUUUGAACUAUUAUUUUCCUACCAAAGUUAUCGAUGAGGCUUUAUAAUUCCACACAUGGAAUAAUUGGUACCAAAACAACUCAUCUCAUAACUUAGGAUAAUUGCUUGAGCUACUGCUUUUAUAAGCACCUCGUUACUUGGAUUAGAUAACAUUCGCUUCUAACCUUUUAGAUCUUUCCAUAACUGUUUUGACGGCCUGGCCUAGAAAGGUGGUCCGAUGAGGGCGAGAAGUGGACACUAGAGCAAAAAUAGGAUGCACGGACAAUGAGCGACUUUUGGCAGGAUUCUGAGAUAGCAACACUCUAGGGUACGAUGGUGCAUGAUUGACUCAAAUUGCAUAUAAAAACGAGAUAGGGAGACUAAUAGAAUAUAUGUAAAGAGUUAGAACUAAACACUUAAAGCACCUUUUGGUUGUUUGGUGAUGAAGUUUUAGGAACUCCAAAGUUAAACGUAUUGGAUUAAGAGAAAUGUCAAAAUGCGUGACUUUCUAAGGAGUACUCGCAGUUUAACGUUGGCAAUACUAAUGGAAAUCUUUCAUAAACUUGAGAGGUUUUACUUUUCAAGUUAAAGCAACAAAAGUAUAAUUGACAUCAACAUGCACCACUUGCAGAACUAAAAAAAAUAUCCAAACAAGUGUAGUAAUAUCUUUACCAAAUUAAAAAAAAAAAUCAAUAAGGGAGAAUACACAAUACCAUUAGGGUUCGGGGUUUUGCAAGAGUGCAUUUGUUUUAAGACAAUUUAAACUUUAUCAUUAUUGGGGAUAAUAAUAUAAAUAAUCACUAAACUUUACACUUAGUUUCAUUUUGGUCAUAAAAUUUUAAUUUGUUCUAUUUCAAUCAUUUAACUUUAGUUUUGGUUGCAAUUUAGUCACCUUGUUAAUAAAAAUUUGACAUGUCACAAUAUUUUUUUGCCAUGUGUCAAUCUUUUAUUUGUAAAGUGACUAAAUUGAAACAACUUUAAAGUUGGAUGACCAAAAUGAAACAAAUUAGAUUUUCUGACUAAAAAUGAAACUAAGUGCAAAAUUUAGUGAGUAUUUAUAUUAUUAUAUAUCCUUCAUUAUUGUAUGGCAAGAAUAAACAAGCAAAAGUCUCUCGAGAAAGAAAACUAUCAAUUGUCCCAUAAGUUUAUGGAAAGAUCUAAGUUCAAAUACUGAAGAGAUUAUAGCAAUAUUCCUUAACAAUUAAUUUCACCUCCUCUCCUCCUUCUCUCUAUCCACUCAUCUUCUUCUUUCAAUUUAUGAAUUAUAUCGUUUGUUUUUUAAGAAUCUUUCAUGUGAAAGUUUUAAUUACAUAUAUUGUAUGAAAACGAGAUACUUUUCAUUGUAAACCAUUCUUAGUCAUAGUAACAUACUAAGUUACUAAUCCAAUAUGGUCAUUAAGAACAUUAAUUUAUAUAAUACCAAAAUAGCAAACAAGAUAUAUACUCUGACUUGUGAAUUUUUCAAUUUUAUCAUAACAAUCUAAUUACUUUUCUUUAUAAUGCUAAUAAUUAGUGAAGGUGGUCGAGUAUAACAUGUUUGCUAUCUCAAGAUGACAAAUCAAUAAUUAUGAAUUAGAUUUCUUUUGAUGAAUUAAGAAAUCCGAAUCUUAUGUUGUAUGCUGAAAUGGCUAAAUUAAAAGUUUGGUGUAUUAUUGAAAGAAAUUUGAAUGUUCGCGAUUUUUACAGUUUUUGUUAAUUCUUGUUUGAAUCAUGAAAUUAACCUUAUUUUUUAUCCAAAUUAAAUAGUUUUAAUUAUUUUCGUAUCAACUUUAGCUUAAUUUAAAAAAAAAUAAAAGCAAAUUUUAGAAAGGAAACAUUAAAUAUGCAUUUAGUUGUAUGCUUAUAAUGAUUCUCAAUGAAAAUAAAGUUGAAUAUGUAUUUAAGAUACUAGUUUAAAAUUACAACAACUUUAUAAAUAUUUUAGCGCAGCAUACUUUUUGUUUUUCUCCUUCUACUUAGUUGCUAGAAGAGCAAGUCCCACCUCAUCUUUGUAAUUUGCUGAACUCAGAGGCUGUUGCCUCUUAGAUGGCAUAUAUCCAUUCUUUCUUUGGAAUAAAUCUGAAUCAAUUCUCAAAAAAACCUUUAUAAAUAUCAUACAUAUUUUAAUUUUUUCCAUUUGAUGAUUUAUUUUUUAAGUUCGAAAUCGUAAAUCAAUUUAUAGGUUUUAUUAUUUAAUUUUCUUAAUUUGAAUUUCAUUCAUCAACUUAAGUUUGAUAUAUUGUUUUGAUUUUAUCUUUUUCAUAAUUAUUUUUUAAAAAUUACAUUUUAAAUGAAUAAAUAAAAAAAUUAAGAUUAAUAGAAUAAUAAUUAUUAACUUCGACUAAAAUAUGUAGUUGGUUAAGACCUCAACUAAUUUUAUAAUUUGGGCUAGAAUUGUUAAAAGUUAAAAAAUAAAUAAAUAAACAAAAUCAUCAAAUAUCGCGAAAAAAUUUUAUUUCUUUUAACUAAUAUGUCUAAGAGAUUCACACACGAAAUUAUUUAUGAUAAGUAUAAAAAUACGACUAGUUGAAUUUCCAAUUAAUAAUAAAAUGAAUUGAUUUUUAACUAAAAGGAACAAAAAGCAAACACAAGAAUUUAUAAAGGUUGGGCUUCUUUCGCCAAGUCUAUGUUCUUCCUUGUUGAUUUCAUUCCUCUAACUUGUCUUUCUCAAGGUGAUCGAGGACCAAACUUUGUACAUUAAUAAAUAAUAGUGAAAUUUAUAAAACAGAACGGUGAGAAAAUCCUAAUCCAAUGUUCAUUAAAAAGAAAAGUAAUUAAAUCGAGAAAUGGAAGAGAAAUAGAUAAUAUUGAUACUCAAUGAUGAUGAUUCUUUAAAGUUGGUUAUGGAUUUGAUAAUGUGAUGUGAAUUGAUGGUCGAAUAGUGACAUAAAUGAGAAAUUGAUGUUUGGAGCUAAAAGUGUAAGUGAAGCAAUUCAAUUUUGACUUGUGAGAUAUUUGAGAUUUGCAAAAACAAACUGAAUAUUAUUUUAGAUUUAAUCGAAUGAAAUUCAAACUUGACCUAUUUAAAUAGUUUGUCGAAUCAAAUUUCUACUUCUUUAUACUUAAUGUAGAAUGCUCGCAAGUCUACUUGAGCUUUUACUAUUUUAUUUAAUAUAAUAUAUAUUUAUAUUUCAAAUUCAAGCGAGUAUAUUUAAAUUCAAUUAAAAUUUAUAGAAAAAUUUAUUUUUGAAUUUUCAGGUCGAGUUCCAUUAAAUUUAAGCAUCCUUUAAACUGUGAAAGUUAAAUUCUAUUGAAUUUCAGUAGAAUUUUGAGCUUCAAAUUUUUUGAUCGAAUCUAUAUUGAAUUUGGUGUUAUUUUGAGUCGGUUCAAUUUAAUUACAUUGCUAUUUAGUUUUUUAGAAGUGAUAACUUUUAAAAAGGUAUAUUUGUAAUUAACUUGAAUGUGAAUGGCACCGAAAAAUAAAAUACUAAUGCGUUCUUUUGAGAAGGGUAUAGAUUUUCUAUUAUGAAGGUAUCGAAUUCUCAUUCUAUAAAGUAAUAUAUGCAUUGAGUUUUUUUUUUAUUAUAUUUUUUUUAUAUAGGAAUGCUGAGAAUGAUGAAAAGAAUAAGUCUAAUGUUCAAAUUUGAUCNNNAAUGUUCAAAUUUGAUUCAUCACUUUAAGUUGAUAUGUCCGAGUGAAAAUAUACUUUUUAUAUAUUUACAGACUCCUACUCUAUCAACAUCAUCAAUGAUUAUUAGAAAUGGAUUUUUUACGUUUAUUUCUUAAUAUUUAAUAUUUAUUUUUAAAUUAAUAGCCAUAUGUAUUUAUUAAUCCUCAAUCCUGCAAUAUUUAUAUCUUUUCUAACCAAUUACACUUUUUAGGAAGCUGAUUUUUAUACAUAAUUGUAAACCGAUAAUUGAGCCAUGAAACGAGCUUACUCAUCAUCGAGAGCAAUAUCUUUUCUUGCGAAGAAUGGAAAGCAAUAUUUUGGUGCUUCUACAAAAUGAAAAACAAAAAUAUAAAAAUUAUUAUUCAAAAGAAUAUUUUUUUUUUAAAAAAAAAAAAUCAAUACGUAACACCAAAGCAUACUAAAAUGAAAAUGUGGUGUUAAAUGACUCUUCAACUUAUUGAAACCAAACCAAACACGUCCUCAGAAAUCUAUUUUGUUGUAUUCUUUCAAAAACAAAUUAAAAUCUUUGCCAUUUUCAAUGAAAUCUGUCUGUUUCUAUGCAGUUGAUUUCUGUUUUUUUUUUUUUUUUCUUUUUUGUUUGCCAAACAAAUGGAAAGAUUUAUAAUACAAACCAAAACUAAACCGAAGUAAAGACUAAAUUAAAUGAAUCAAAUUUUGUAUAAAUAUAUACUUAAUUGAAUAAAAAGUAAAAUCGAAAAAAGACAAAUUGAAUAAACUGAACUGCAUAAGGUCCUCUUAAAGAAUUAAAUAUUUUAAUUCGUAUAAGAAAUUUAGUUAGUUCGGUUAAAUGUAAAUCUUUUAACUUAAAAUUGAUCCAAACUUGAUUAAUUCUGAUUUUUAUAAAAACUAAAUCAAAUAAAUUAAAAGAAUCCAAUUAAAUUAUAGAUUUAUUUUUUUUAAUUUUGCUUACCUUUAUAUAUAUGACUUUGAAAUUUUAAAUUAUUUUAUCUUUUUAGAAAAAGUCUUCAAUAAAACUAGAAAAGAAAUACAUCUGUGUAUAUUAAGCUCAAUUUUAUAGUCGGAGAAUCAAGAGCAAUAUAUUGAUGCUUCGAUAAAAUAAAAAUUAAAUCAUACUAAAAACCAAAAAAAUAUGGUGUGGAAUGGAUCUUCAACUAAUUGAAAUACAAACCAAACACAUCCUAAGAAAUCUAUUUUGAUUGUUCUUUAGAAAGGAGAAAAAACAACAAAUGAAAAUCCCCACCACUUUUAAUGAAAUGUGUUUGUUUCUAUGGGGAAUUUCUUUUUUCUCUUUUUCUGCUCUUUUUUGUUGCCCUUUUUCAUGCUUUGAUGAGGCUUUUGAGCAUCAACAUCAUGGAAAGAGGCAGAGGAAUGUAUUUUUUGGACUCUGAAGUAUGAGCCACAAAAACUAAGGUAAAGGGCAAGUGUGUUCUACUUCUGCACCACAUCUGGGCUUUGUGGCUAAUGGUAGAGGGGUGGCCCAUUUCAAGUUUCCUUCCAAAAGUUUGGUAUUGUUUCUGGCCAUAAAUUAUUAUUGACCACAUAAAAUUAGUUAUUUCCAAAAGGCUCAUUUUUUAAGGUGAUGGAUCAUCAUCCUCUUUCCUUCCUUUAGCUGCUUACAAACAAAUAAAUAUUAGAUAAGGAGAAGUGGAGCCAUGACGUUCUCAUAAAACCAACCCUCCCUCCUUUUUUUUAGUUUUUCAAUAAAUCAAAUCUUAUCCCAAAACCCAUCUCUUUCUUUUCCUUGGAGCAAACGUUUCAUUUCUAUGGCAAAAAGAAAAUUAAAAUUAAUUUAAAUUGUUUUCUCUAUUAUUUAUCAAUAUUAAUUACAGUCUGUUUAUUGCUUGAAAUGAAUGAAAUAAUUUUCUAUUAUAUGAAAAUAGAUAUACAACUUUUAUAUGAGGAAUAAUGUUUUCUUAUAAAAAAGCUAAUGGACUUUAAAUUACAUAAUAGACUAUAGUCAUUCUGUUUAUAUGUAUUAUAAAAAUAAAAAUAAAAAUUCUAUUAGUAUAUAUAAAAAAAUUUAAAAAAUUCAAAAUAUCUUAUUUUCUAAAAUAAAUAUUUUAUCAAUUAAACUAGAUUUUAAAUAUAAUAUAAUUAAUUUAUUAUUACCGAUAAAUAAUAAUUAAUAAAAUAAAAUAAAAAAAAAAAAGAAAUUUAAUAUUACAAUAUAUAUAAAAUAAUACCAUAAAAUUAUUUUUUAUUAAUAAAAAGUCCAAUUAGUUAUGGGUUACACAAUAAAAAUAAUAAUUAUUUAACACUCACUAUAAAAAAUAAAAUCUCACCUGGUAUAAAAGUGAGACUUAAACUCAAAAUUUCUACCUCUAAUAACAAUCGCUCCUCCAUUUGAGCUAGAAAUACUAUUUUUAUUCAACUUUACAUGUAUAUUUUAAUUUUAUUUUAAAAAAGAUGAAAAAAUAAAUAGUUUUAUAAAUUUUAAAUUAAUAUAAUUUACAAGCAGUAAUUACUUGUCCAAUCAUUUAACUUUUCACUAGUCAACACUCAAAAGCAAUAUAUAAAAUUAAAAAUGAAAUGUAUAUAUUUGAUCGGUCAAACAAUAUAAAUUAGUCUUUUAGAUUUUAAUUAUAUAUAAUUUAUUAAUAUUUAUAUUACUAUGUAAUGUUUAUUUAUUUAUUUAAUGAAUGAAUUAAAAAAAAAAUUGCCUAAAAGUAACCCUUUUCACUGUAGAGAUCUUGUGGUGGGUCAAAUUGGUAGUUUGAUUUGCUACGCAUUAUAAACAUUUAAACAGACAGACAGCAUUUCUUCGCUCUAAGCAAAACUCUUUUCCUUCUUCCUUAACCAGAGAGAGAGAGAGAGAGAGAGAGAGAGAGAGAGAGAGAGAGAGCUCUUCUCUUCACCUUCAAACAACACAUCCAUCAUCAAUGGAUCCUUACAAGGUAUCUCUUCUUAAUCCACACACUAGCACAAACCAAAUCCAAAAAAGAAAAACAACUUAACUUGGUUACUGACAUAGUUUCUUUUUUAUGUUUUAAUUGGUGCAGUUUCGACCAUCAAGCGCCUAUAAUUCUCCUUUCUUCACUACAAACUCUGGUGCUCCUGUCUGGAACAACAACAACUCCUUGACUGUUGGGUCCAGAGGUAAUCAAAGUUUCAAUUUGUAAGUCAUAAUUGUGCUUAUAUCCGUAAAAAAAUGAACUGAGUUUGGCUUAACUUGGAUUAACAUUUGUUACUUUGGCAGGGCCGAUUUUGCUGGAGGACUAUCAUUUGGUGGAAAAGCUUGCAAAUUUUGACAGGGAAAGAAUUCCAGAGAGAGUUGUUCAUGCUAGAGGUGCAAGUGCAAAAGGGUUCUUUGAAGUAACUCAUAAUAUCUCUCAUCUUACCUGUGCUGAUUUCCUUCGAGCUCCUGGAGUUCAAACCCCUGUUAUUGUUAGGUUCUCUACUGUUAUUCAUGAACGUGGCAGUCCUGAAACUCUUAGAGACCCUCGUGGUUUUGCUGUCAAGUUCUACACUAGGGAGGUAACUUCAUUUCCUGCUAUAUAAUAUCUUUUGAGCAUGCUAGUUAAACGUAUGGAAUGAACAUUAACUUCUUUCUUUGUACAUAAGGAAAAUUCUGCAUUUUUGCUUCUCUGGAAAGGGCUUUUAGCAUUCAAAUUUCAAGCUGAGUUUAAAUUUCAGAUUUGACUUCUGCUUUUACAAAACGUGAGAUUAAGUAACACUAGCAAGUUAACCAAAAAAUAGCAGAGAUUAUUAUUCUAGCAAGCUGAGAUUAUGUAUUGCUGACAUACAUGUGGCUGUAAUAUGCACAAUAAACUCACUAAUUAUCACUCUUUAAGCUACGAGCUUCAUGUCUCCCUCUCUGUUUUUUCUUUACCCUUCUUUAUGUUCUCGCUCGAGUGGUGCGAGUUUCUACAUAUAUAUAUAUAUAUAUAUAUAUAUAUAUAUAUGUAAAGGAAUCCUUUCCAUUAAAGAAUCAAGAUUGAUUGUUUUAUUUCAAGUAACAUUUUACUAAUUCUGCAUUUGUUUUCAUCAGGGUAAUUUUGAUUUGGUGGGCAACAAUUUCCCUGUCUUUUUCAUCCGUGAUGGAAUGAAGUUCCCUGACAUGGUUCAUGCUCUGAAACCCAAUCCCAAGUCACAUAUUCAGGAGAACUGGAGGAUACUAGACUUCUUCUCCCACCACCCUGAGAGCUUGCACAUGUUCACCUUUCUCUUUGAUGACAUAGGUAUUCCUCAGGAUUACAGGCACAUGGAUGGUUCUGGUGUAAACACCUACACUUUGAUCAACAAGGCUGGGAAAGCACGCUAUGUCAAAUUCCAUUGGAAAGCCACUUGUGGAGUUAAGAGUUUAU